AUGAUGAUAAACAACACCACAGUAAACCCAUUACAUGGCAGCGACACAUGCGAACAACAAUGAAAAUAGAUAUGUAACUUAUAUGAUAGAUAGAUUCAGAUUGCCUCUGGAUUAUGAUGGCAUACGACUAUGGGAUCUCGGUGCAUAUUGCGCACGGCCGAGGCUAAACAGGAGGAGAAUCAGAGAAAUACCACGGUUUGGUGAAAUUGUCAUCAGUCCCUUCUGUUGGAGCACUAGGAGUGACGGGAACGACGAAGAACUUGGGUUUCUUGAACACCAGGUGGCGAGACAGAGCCCUUAGGGGUUCCCUUGAGGAGCUUAAGCAGCUUUCGGCCUGUGCCACGAUCUGCAUCCGUCGGAUCGGCUAUUGUGGAUGUGGAGCAGGUGCCUGCGCCAGCUACAGGCCGAGACGCGCUCAUGCCGGAAGCGGCAUGUGCAGGAACGGGUAUGCAGGCACCGGUGGGGUGUCGCCGGCGGGCGCUUCAAAGGGGAAGGGAAAUUAAACUACCAGCUUGGGCGGCGGUGGAGGCGGUGCUGUGGCGUGGUGUGGAAACGUAACGACAUGAAAGAGCGGUGCGUCGUGACCGUGACUGCGGUGCCUCGGUGCAGAGAUCACCUCCUUAACCAGUCUGGCCGGCGGAGGGUAGGAGAAGUUGAGCUUUGCCUUUGCGCCCUUCAGCUCCCUUGCCGCGAGGUCGUACGCGCACGCGGUGACCUCGGGGGACUGGUAUGUCCCCAGCCACAACAACGUCUUCGUCACCGGGUGCGUCAUAGUUGCGGCGAACUUGCCAUCCCCCUUCUUUCUCACCCCAGUUAACCUGCUGUUCUCACCCCCCGCUGUGGCUGCCAUGGCGUCUACCACAGUCGAACGGAGGUGGAUGCCUGGUGUGCAAGACGAUGGGGGUUUAAUAGUGGGUCACCAGCCGCCGGCAUCAAGCCAUGCGUUCGCGUACGUACGUUUCAGGCUCACAGGAACCACGCCGCCUCGCCAUGAGCAAAGAGUGGUUAUUAACCCUGACAAAAAAAUAUAUAUCAUGGCGUGCACGUAUAUAACCGCCUUACAGCUUGCAUUGUUCCUUUUCACUUUUGUUUGGUUGUAUUUCGCUUAGCAUAUACUGUUAUACCACUGGUGGAAAAAGGGCCUUUGGUCGCGGUUCGCAACUGCCAUUAGUCGCGGUUGCGCAACCGCGACCAAACAGGCGCGACUAAAGCCCCCCCCCCCUUUAGUCGCGGUUGUUUAAGAACCGCGACUAAAGGCCCGUCCACGUGGGCGCCAGGCGGCCGUCGGGGCGGAGGACCUUUAGUCGCGGUUCUUCUGGCCAACCGCGACUAAAGGCCGCCGCAGGUUUAGGGUUUUAGCCCCCCCUAAACCUGUUUUCUGUUUAAUUUGUAUUGUUUUAUUUCUUUUGUGCUUUAUUUUAAUUUUGAAGGAGUUUGACAUAUUCUACGGUACUACAUACAUGCAUAUGAAUGUACAAUUUCAAACAAAUUUGAAAUUAGAACCAAAAAGAAUUCAAGAGGAAUAUACAAUAUAUAUUCAAUAUCAUCGGAUGACCAUAUACAAUUUUCAACAAGUUUCCAUACAUAAUUUAAUGCAUAUAAAGUUCUACGUCCUCGUAAUGGUGUUCUCCUUUAGGAUGGAGGACUUCCCUCCUGAACCAUCCAGCUAGUUCCUCUUGAAGUGGUCGGAAGCGAGCUUCUGGACUAAGCAUCAUCCGGAGGUUAUUCCUCUGAGCAUUUGUAUCACUCGGAACCCGCCGCUCAGAGGUGUAUCUCCGGAUCAUCUCACAGACAUAGUAUGCACAUAGAUUGGUCCCCGCUGGCUGAAUAUCCUCACCAUUCUUAGCCUUUGACCUUUUGAAUUCUAGCUCUUUUUUGAAUUCACCGACCUUUGUAUCUACGAACCGUCUCCAAACCCUACGAGGCAAAGAAAAUUAAAUGAACAAGAGAGUUAUUAGUUACUUGAUAUUAGGAAAUGAACGAAAUAGGCCGAUCGAUAUAGAGCGCAAAUGAAUGAAAAUAAUUACUUCUGCAGCAUUCUUCUCAUGCCGCCCCAAAGCUUUGGAUCCUUAUUCAGAGAGUCGUGGACGAGACAUUCUGAGGUGUCAACUUUAAUUACUAGCAGAAUCCAGUGGAACCUGCGGACACGAUACAUGCAUAGUACGUCAUGCAUAACUCAUCGAUUAGCCGGCCACAUACCAUGCAUGGAGUAAACAAAAGAGAAUGUGCUCAAGACAGAAACACUCACCCAAAAUGGUAAGGAAAUAGAAUAUCACUUUUGAGUUCCUGCUUUGUAAGAAACUGCCACAGGUCUGCCUCCAUGUCGGCGGGGUGAUGCUCCAACACAUAUCCAUUAACGAUGUGUGGGUCAAUGAACCCAACAUCAUGGAUGUUCCUUACUCUGCAUUUCUUAAUCUUCAUUCUGCAUGUAUAAUAGCGGACACAACAAUAUAGUUAGGACAUAUAUAUAGUGCAGGCAAUAUGAACGAGAUGGGGUAGAAAUAAAUCACUUACAGAACGUAGCAACUGAUGAUAGAUUUGUCGAGCUCGCGCAGAUUGAAAAGCUGGAACAAUUCACUCAGAUGAAUUUGUACAUAGUAAUGUUUGAAGUGAUGCUCAUAUCUAACUUCCGCAUAAAUAUAUUCUUUGGCGUUUUUAUUUUUUAUGUAACCCUUGUACCAUUUCAGCAGACCUUUCAUUUGUGGAGGUAGAUCCUCUUCCUGCGCAGGCUCGACGAGAGGCCCAUUCUUCACAUAUGUAAUUACUACCUCCUUCACUGGCGCCUCAUCAAGGCCUAACAGUUCACGAAGAGUAAUACCUAAGUUGGCCGCUUGUUCUCUGGCACUCGUUACAGUCAAUCCAUGUGCUGCCGCAGCUGCUAUGAUAUCGGGGUCAUCCGGACCGGCGGCUUUCACUAUAAGCGGGGCAAUCGAUUGUUUACUUUGUUCCCCGAGCUGGGCAACUCAUUUCCCGCUUUUUUACUUUCUAAUUCCGUUUUCUCGGCCUCCUCCAAGGCUUUGUUCUCCUGGUUCUCCGCCCGCUCUUUCUUCUCCUUCAACAUGAGUGCCUGCCUACGAAGUUCACGUGCAUAGUCGUCAGGCAGAUUCUUCGCGGCUUGGGACGGUGUGCUCAAAAAUGACUUAGCCCACUUCUUUUGCUCAUCAGAAAAUACUGGCUUGGGCUCGGGCUCACUUUUCUUCUUGCAGUCCGCCUUCCAUUUCUCAUGAUCAGCAGCCGCGGCCGCGGCAGUUUCUUCGGCACUACGUUCCCAAGGCCUUGUGGGGAGAGGCUUCAGUGAUGGCUCCGGUACCUUUGUGGUCUUAGGUACAUAAGGGUCCGAGUUAAUAAUCCAGGACUGCUUCUGCUUCUUUGCCGGAGGUGGAUUGGGGGGCGGCGUCUGAUCACCCGCCGGACGAGGACUGGGGCGCGGCGUCUGAUCACCCGCCGGACGUUGUGGACUGGGGGGCGUCGGCUGACGUGACGGAGGUGUAGGUGAACCGCCACCACCACCACCACCGUAGGGGGGUGGACUUGUUGUCCUUGGCGCCUCGCCUGGAAACUUGAUAAACUUCUUUUUCCAUAGAAUGAAAUGGCGCUUGACAUCUCCAAGUCUUUUCUCCCCUUCAGGUGUAGCAAUGUCAAUCUCCAGGUCCUCAAACCCUUGGACUAUGUCCUCCACCGUGACACGAGCAUAGCCAUCUUGAAUGGGGUUGUUGUGGUGGAGUGCUCCAGGUAAACAUGGUAAAGCACUGCCGAUGGCUACCUUCAUGGACAUGUUCCCGAUAGGAUAAUACAGAUGACAUUCUUUCAUCUCCUUUAUAUCGUCCACGGGGUAGCGAGGAGGCUCCGGUGCAGUAAUUUCGACCACCAGAGGCUCCGGUGCAGUAAUUUCGACCACCAGAGGCUCCGGUGCAGUAAUUUCGGUCGUCGGUGCAUCUGCACCAGCCGAUGGGGCCUCCGUGGAAGCCACACUGCUUCUCCGCUGCUGGCUUCUGAGAUCCGCUGGAUGAUCUUCAUGCUGCGCCCGAGCUGCAUCUCUUUUGGCUACUAGUACACUCACGGUUUUCUUCAUCACAUCCAUAUCCGAUGCCAACCGCGCCACAACAUCUGCUUCCCGAUCCAUCUUUUUCUUCCGGCUUCUGUAACCGUACGGGUCAUCGUUCUGGGGGAACCCUAUUUUCCACGGAAUGUGCCCCAUGCCUCGUACACGUCCUCCGUGUUCAGGAUUCCCGAGGGCUUUUGUCAGCGCGUCGUUCUCUCUAUUGAACUUGAUCUUCCCCUCUUGAGCAUCCCUCAUUGCGUCAAUAAGGGCUUGGGUGGGUUUAAUUAUUUUGCCCCGGUAAACACACUCCCCUGUCUCCGGGUUCAGCGUUCCCCCAUGCCCGUACCACCAGCUUUUGGCCCUUGGGUCCCAUCCCUCCGUACCUGGACGGAUUCCUCGCGCCCUCAGCUCGUUCUCCAUCUUCUCCCACCUAGGCUCCCAAAGGCGAUACCCUCCUGGCCCCAUAAUAUGAUUGUACUCCUUCUUAGCCGCAUUUUCCUUAUUUUUUUCGAUAUUUGAAUGAACUGCUCCGAUUUCUUUUGCUUCACAAAUUCUGGCCAAUCAUGUUUGAGCCACGAGCGAUAACCCCCGCCUGCGCUAUCCUCAGUUCGAGCCACGAGCGCCGCCCGACGACAGCGACGACAGCAGCGACGACGACGGCGGCAACUUAGAAGGCGACGACUACUAGUACAACGGCGGCGGCUAUGAAGACUACGAGUAUGCAUAUUAUACGCCUAGGCAGGAGUAUGACUAAAUCACUCCAAAUUUCAUGUAUCAUCAGUGGUAUCUCGAAUCAUUCGGAAAUGGACACCAAACACAUCACGGGUAAUAUAAUUCACAUGAUCCAUUCAACAAAGUUUGGUACAAUAAAUUAUUACACAUCAUUUCUUCCCUUGUGUCCCUGCUUGCUUACGAUUGUGCCGUAUCCAUGGAGCAUCCUCAUCAUUUAACUUAAUGCUUGGGUCGGUGUUCACUUUGAAGGGCGGAAUUUCAGCAAACAUAUUAUAAUCUUCUGACAUGUCUGUCUUGUCCUCCACUCCCACGAUGUUUCUUUUCCCUGAAAGAACAAUGUGGCGCUUUGGAUCAUCGCAUGAUGUACUGAUCGUUUUCUUAUCUUUCCGUUUCCUCGGUUUGCUACUCAUGUCCUUCACAUAGAAAACCUGAGCGACAUCUUUCGCUAGGACGAAUGGUUCGUCAAGGUAACCAAGAUUGUUGAAAUCCACCAUUGUCAUUCCGUAUUGCUGGUCCACCUUUACCCCACCUCCUGUUAGCUUGAACCAUUUGCACCGGAACAAAGGGACCUUAAAGGAGGGUCCAUAGUCAAGUUCCCAUAUCUCCUCUAUGUAACCAUAAUAUGUGACCUUUUGACCAUUCUCGGUUGCUGCAUCAAAGCGGACACCACUGUUUUGGUUGGUGCUCUUUUUAUCUUGGGCGAUCGUGUAAAAUGUAUUCCCAUUUAUCUCGUACCCUUGGAAAGUCGUUAUAGUCGAAGAUGGUGUCUUGGCCAACAUGUACAGCUGAUCUACAACAUCAUUGUCAUUCAUUAAAUGUUUUCUCAACCAACUGCCGAAAGUCUCCAUGUGGGCCUUCCUAAUCCAGGAUUCAGGCUUCCCCAGGUUGUCCGAGCGUAAAAUAUUCUUGUGUUUCUCAAAGUACGGAGCCACCAAGCUGGAAUUGGUCAGUACAGUGUGGUGUGCUUCAGUCAGAGAAUGGCCGUCCAUACAUAUCGUUGAUUUCCUUCCGAUCGUGCCUUUUCCACUUAGUCUCCCCUCGUGCCGCGAUCGAGGAAGACCAAUCGGCUUAAGCUCAGGAACAAAGUCAACACAAAACUCAAUUACCUCCUCAUUUCCAUAGCCCUUGGCGAUGCUUCCUUCUGGCCUAGCACGGUUACGAACAUAUUUCUUUAAUACUCCCAUGAACCACUCGAAGGGGAACAUAUUGUGUAGAAAUACAGGACCGAGAAUGAAAAUCUCUUCGACUAGGUGAACCAAGAGGUGCGUCAUAAUAUUGAAGAAGGAUGGCGGGAACACCAACUCGAAACUGACAAGACAUUGGAUCACAUCGUUCUGUAACCGUGGUAGAUCUUUUGGAUUGAUUACCUUCUGAGAGAUUGCAUUGAGGAAUGCACAUAGCUUCACAAUGGCUACUCAAACAUUUUCCGGCAGGAGCCCCCUCAAAGCAAUCGGAAGCAAUUGCGUCAUAAUCACGUGGCAGUCGUGAGACUUCAGAUUUUGGAACUUUUUCUCCGCCAUGUUUAUUAUUCCCUUUAUAUUGGACGAGAAUCCAGACGGGACCUUCAUACUGCUCAGGCAUUCAAAAAAGAUGACCUUCUCUUCUUUGGUCAGAGCGUAGCUGGCACGACCUUGAAACCAUUCCGGAUGCCGGUCAUCAGGGUCUUUCAAACGUUGCUGGUCCUGCCGUGCUUCCUUUGUAUCAUUUGUCUUCCCAUACACGCCCAAGAAGCUUAGGAGGUUCACGCAAAUAUUCUUCGUAACGUGCAUCACGUCGAUUGCACAGCGGACUUCUAGGACUUUCCAAUAUUCUAGCUCCCAGAAUAUAGAUUUCUUCUUCCACAUGGAUGCGUGCCCGUCAGCUCCUUUCGGAACUGAUUGUCCGCCAGGACCCUUUCCAAAGAUGACUUUCAAAUCCUUGACCAUAUCAAAUACCUCAGCACCAGUGCGUUCCGCAGGCUUCGGCCGGUGAUCUGCCUUGCCGUUGUAAUGCUUGCCUUUCUUUCUUACUGGAUGAAUUUUCGGAAGAAAUCGACGAUGCCCAAGGUACACGUUCUUCUUACAAUUUGGCAAAUGUACACUUUCAGUCUCAUGUAAGCAGUGCAUGCAUGCAUUGUAUCCCUUAUUUGACAGUCCCGAAAGGUUACUAAGAGCAGGCCAAUCGUUGAUGGUUACGAAAAGCAAUGCUCGUAGGUUAAAUUCCUCUUUUUUGUGCUCAUCCCACACACGGACACCAGGUCUGCCCCACAGCUGUAAAAGUUCAUCAACUAAUGGCCUUAGGUACACAUCGAUGUCGUUGCCGGGUUGCUUCGGACCUUGGAUGAGCACUGGCAUCAUAAUGAACUUCCGCUUCAUGCACAACCAAGGAGGAAGGUUGUAGAUGCAUAGAGUCACGGGCAAGGUGCUAUGGCUGGAGCUCUGCUCGCCAAAAGGAUUCAUGCCAUCUGUACUUAGACCAAAUCCUAUGUUCCUUGCGUCAGCUGCAAAAUCUUUGAACUCUCUGUCGAUCUUUCUCCAUUGCGUUCCAUCUGCGGUGUGUCUCAACUCCCCGUCCGACUUACGGUCCUCUUUGUGCCAUCGCAACAACUUGGCAUGCUCUUUGUUCCUGAACAGACGUUUCAACCGUGGUAUUAUAGGAGCAUACCACAUCACCUUGGCGGGAACCCUCUUCCUGGGUUUCUCGCCCUCAACAUCGUCACCAGGGUCAUCGCCUCUGAUCUUAUAACGCAAUGCAGUGCAUACCGGGCAUUCAUUCAAAUUCUCGUAUUCACCGCGGUAGAGGAUGCAGUCGUUGAUGCAUGCAUGUAUCUUCAGAACCUCUAAACCUAGAGGGCAGACAACCUUCUUUGCUUCAUACGUACUGGCGGGCAACUCGUUAUUCUUUGGAAACAUAUUCUUCAACAUUUUCAGCAAGUUUUCAAAUGCCGAGUCAGCUACACCUGCCUGUGCCUUCCAUUUCAGCAAAUCCAGUGUGCAGCCCAGCUUUUUCAGACCAUCAUCGCAUCCGGGGUACAACGACUUUCUGUGAUCCUCUAACAUGCGAUCCAAAUUCUCCCUCUCCUUUUCAGUUUCGCAGCGUCUUCGUGCAUCAGCAAUGGUCCGACCAAGAUCAUCAACGGUCUCAUCACGUGCCUCUUCUUCACCUUCACCUUCCCCUUCACCUUCCCCUUCACCUUCAGCAUCCUCCAUGAAAGUAUCACCGAAAUGAGCAAGAUAGCUUUCAUCGAUGAAAUCAUCCCCUUCUUCAUCUUCUUCCAUUAUAACCCCUCUUUCUCCAUGCUUGGUCCAACAAUUAUAGCUUGGCAUGAAACCGUGCCGAAGCAGGUGCAGGUGAACUUCUCUUGAGGAAGAGUAACCCUUCUGAUUCUUACAUUCAACACAUGGACAGAUAACAAAACCCUUCUGCUUGUUCGCAUUAGCCACUACGAGGAAAUCUUUCAAACCCGUAGUGAACUCGCGGGAGAGUCGGUUACCGUACAUCCAUUGCCGAUUCAUCUGCAUUAUUAUAAUAUAAAAUACAUAAUUAACCAUCAUGCAUUUGUUAAACUAACUAGCUAUAAACAAUAGAAAUUAAACAAUGAACAACACACAUGCAUAUUUUAUCAAUGACACACAUGCAUGAAAGGUUCAAGUUGCUAACCGCGAUCGAGGAGGAAAAAAUAAAUGAGGAACCUCAAGUGUGGCUCCAACACUUCAUAUCAUGUUUGUUUCACCCUCUUGGGGCAUUUCAUCAAACACCUUGUGUGCAUAAGAGGAACCAAAAGCAACCCUACACCCCCUUGUGAAGCUUGUGAAGAGAAGUGGCACCAAAUGGCUAAGUGAGCGUGCUGAACUGGUAUAUAUAGGGGAGGAGCUUUAGUCGCGGUUGGCCUGGCCAACCGCGACUAAAGCCCAUCACGUGCACCAGCUGGCCACCGAGCGCCCUGGGCCCAGGCCUUUGGUCGCGGUUCGUCUGCCGAACCGCGACUAAAGACUUCAUUAGUCGCGGUUCCUACAGUUUCGCGACUAAUGGGGCUGGACGGAAGCCUCUUUUUCUACCAGUGUACAUACACUGCUUUCUCGCUGAUUAACAUAACAAAAGAUAUAUGCGACGGCCUGUACGUAAAGCGGUCAAGCACACUAGAACAGCUUUCAUUGCUGAUUUUACUACUUACGAUGGCGAGUCCUCGGUCGAAAAGCGCCGCAUAGGCGCACGUUACACGUCAGUCAAGCUUAUCAUCUGAUGCACCAGAUGGGAUGAGACCUAGAUUACGUGGGCUUAGCUGAUGUGAACCACACUUUUCUGCUGCUUAUACAUGUAUUUUGUGAAGUUUGUCUUUUCUUAAACGGACGUUGCAUUUUCUUCUAAUGUAUUUCUUUCCAACGUGGUUAAGCACCAAUGUUAAGUUAGAAAUUUAUCGGUUUACAGAAUUUUCAAAGUAAAUUAUUUUUUCUGAUAAAAACACAUUUCAAGUCAGAUUGUUAGAUUAAUAUUAGGUAUCUCCAAAAAGUCUUAUAGCAUUGUAGAGUUUUUCAAGAAUAAAGACUUUCGGGUAUCUUCAACGCUAUCCCCUAAAACGGACCUAGUAUCCAACCACGACAGUGAUACACGAGCAAGCCAUCCAACCCUAUCCAUCAAACAUCCGAUCACAUUUUAAACGGUAUUUGAAGAAACCGGACGAUCAUUUAAAUUGGACCAAUUUCAUGACAUUUUAAACAUAUUUCAUUUAACAGAAGUGUACAUGACAUUUUUUAACAUAAAUUUUUAGCUUAGUCGAAAUUUUUGCCAGCCGUGGAAGCGUCCAUGUUCCAUGUCGAGCAUCUUUGCCGGUCCUGAGCUCUGCGAAAUGAAGCUGCUAGUCGCCGGCGAGGAAGAGUAAGACAUGGGCCACGGACAUGCCCACAAGGAGACAUACGUGUCCGUCUCCCAUGUGCUAGUCUUCUUUGUCGAAUUCCGCCGCUUGGAUGUCGCGGACGUCGCGGUCGUUGUGGCUCAAUGGGAACCGCGGGUGAUAGGAGCUGCCGAUGUUUCCGUUCACAAUCGCAUAACCCGCCACGUCCGCCUCCUUCGUGUUUGCGUUGCAUCCGUCCCCGCCAUGAUCUCCUUGACGCUGCGCGUCUUCGACGCCAGUUCGCGAUGCGGAAGAGAAAUUUCUGGUGGAAUUGGAGGCUCUGAUUACCAGAUGACACGGAUCUAUAGUCUAGAGAACUGGAUUCACUCUUGCGGGCUCGAAUCAAGGAUACAAGUGUUUAGGGUUCCUAGAAGAGGGGGAUCGGGAUGAGAGAGCCAGGGAAGGAGGAAGAUACAUCGCCCAACGUCGCCGCCAGUCUGUGAUCCAACGAUACCCUAGCCAGUGGCUUGUCUCGUCUUAAGUAGUCUCACUUGCUCCACACUGGCCCCGUCACUUGUCGGUUGGGCUUGGAGAUCCUCUUGGGCCGGGCUGGUGAUGCUGGGAUUUGGCCUCCAGUGGUUCCCAUGACAUUCCCUCCCCCUUGCGACUUGGCUUGUCCCCAAGCCAAAGCUCGUGGAAAUCUGGCAUGGAGAGGUACUUCAUCUUCCCAGGAAGCCAGCGACACUGGAAAUCCAGACCAGUGGACUAGCACUUGCGGUACCUACCGUACUCCGCGUUGUAUGUCGCGGCGUUAAAUGAUGGCUACUGGUACUUGGAAGGGUAGAAGAUCCUCGUCGAGAACGGGCAACUCCGGCAUGAUUUGUGUGUCCGGAGGCACGCCUGCGCGAAGCUGGGAGACGUGGAUGACGGGGUGGAUCUUGGCCUGCUCCGGCAGCGCCAGUCUGUAUGCGACCUCGCCGACGCGCCCAGUAACCUGAAAUGGACCAAAGAAACGAAACGCUAGCUUGUGGUUAGCUCGAGCCGCGACCGAUGAUUGCGCGUAUGGUUGCAGUUUGAGGUACACCCAAUCCCCAACUGCGAACACUCGAUCCGAUCUCUUCUAGUCCGCUUUGGCCUUCAUCACUUGGCGAGCGCGGUGCAAAUGUUGCUUCAGGGACUGCAGCACUGUUGCUCGGUCUUUUGUCCACGCCGCCAGAUCAGACACUUUAUCAUCCACGAUGUUGGUGAUGCCGAAGAAUUGGGGUUUGUGGCCAUACAGUACCUCGAAGGGAGAGGACUUGAGCACAGAGUGGUAUGAAGUGUUGUACCAGAACUCCGCCAACGCCAGCCAGUCAGCCCAUUUGCUCGGACAAUUGUGGACGAAGCAUCUCAAGUACAGCUCCAUACAUUGGUUGACUCUCUCAGUAGUCCCGCCGGUCUGCGGGUGCCGUGCUGAUGAUAUAUUCAGUGUGGUCCGUGUCAGCUUGGCCAGCUCUUGCUAUACCCUGCUAGUGAAGAUGCGGUCCCGAUCUGAAACCAUCUUGUCCGGGGGUCCGUGGAGCUUGAAAACGUUCUCCAUGUAUGCUUUAGCCACUUGCAGUGCGGAGAAUGGGUGCCGGAGUGGAAUGAAGUGAGCAUACCGUGUCAGCUUAUCCACGACCACCAGGAUUGAGUUGUAGCCCUUUGAUCUUGGCAGACCUUCUACAAAGUCCAAGGUCACCAUUUCCCAAGCCUGCUCUGGUAUGGGCAGCGGUUGGAGGAGGCCGGGAUACUUGACAUGCUUUGGUUUGGGUAGGGGGUCCCGAACUGUGCGUCUAGGCGGAUGGUAACAGGAGACCGGGGACACAAUGUUUUUACCCAGGUUCGGGCCCUCUCGAUGGAGGUAAAACCCUACGUCCUGCUUGAUUAAUAUUGAUGAUAUGGGUAGUACAAGAGUAGAUCUACCAUGAGAUCAGAGAGGCUAAACCCUAGAAGCUAGCCUAUGGUAUGAUUGUCUGUCCCUAUGAACUAAAACCCUCCGGUUUAUAUAGACACCGGAGAGGGCUAGGGUUACACAGAGUCAGUUACAAUGGUAGGAGAUCUACAUAUCGGUACCGCCAAGCUUGCCUUCCACGCCAAGGAAAGUCCCUUCCGGACACGGGACGAAGUCUUCAAUCUUGUAUCUUCAUAGUCCAAGAGUUCGGCCGAAGGUAUUGUCCAGCUAUCCGGACACCCCUAAUCCAGGAGUCCCUCAAUAGCCCCCGAACCAGGCUUCAAUGACGACGAGUCCGGCGCGUAAAUUGUCUUCGGCAUUGCAAAGCGGGUUCUCCUCCAAAUUCCGUGUACCUGUUGAAUAAUGUCCGGUUUCUUGUAAAUGUAGCGCUCCUUGGCUUCUACGCCCAAUAAUGGCCGUCUUCCACGUGUCAAACGAAUACGAAAAGUCAGGGUGUUUUUACAUUUACACCCCUAGCCGCGUGAAUGAGCCGUCUAUUUAAGGGUAGAUCCAAACCACACCUUCUCCCCUCCGCGAGUAUUUAUCAGAGCGUAUCCGACAGAGGUCCAUUCUAUCAUGGCCAGCCGCCGCAGCUCCUCCUCUCGUCCUUCCAGCCCUCAGCCUGGAGAUCGGGAGAGAUGCUCCAUCCCGCACAGCGAGCUAGUGACGCUCCAGACCAAGGGAUUUCUCCCCCCUGGCCUAUAUGGUCCCGGUUCGAGCCGGACUUGCCACCUAUAAUGGAGGAGAGCAAGCGGAGAGCACCCCCAAUCCCUCCAAAGGAGAGCGGGUAUGCCUUGUCCCUUACUUAAUAAGAGGGCCCAGAUUUCCAAUUCAUCCGUUUCUCCGGGGGCUCCUGGAGUUCUAUGGCCUCCAGCUGCACAACCUCACGCCUGCCUCCAUAUUGCAUAUCGCGGGCUUCGUAGCCCUUUGCGAGCUGUUUUUGGGCUGCGAGGCUCAUUUCGUGCUGUGGAAAAGCCUAUUCUGCCUUGUGCCCCGUUCUCAGAAGGGGUCAAUAUAUCAAGUGGGCAGAGCCGAAGUGCGGCGCAUCGCCGGGACCAGAUAUCUAUUCGGAACCACAAAGAAGGCAUCCGAGGACUGGCCUUCGGAAUGGUUUUAUAUAGAGGGCAUCUCGUUGCUGAAUCUUGUCCGGAUUGGCCUCCCUGAGUUCGACAGUGCUCCCCUAAAGAAGCGCCUAAGCUGGCAUCCACGGAGCCCUCAGAGGGAAAGUGACAAGGACGUUAUUUAAUUGAUGGGCCAGAUAAGAUUGUUAGCUCAUUCCGGACUAACCAUGAUCGGGGUCAUGGCCACAUGCAUCAUGCGAGGGGUGCAGCCGCUUCAGUAUAGAGGCCACCCCAUGUGGAACUUCAAUAGGGAGGACGACGCCACCCGCCACGGCCGUAAGGGGCCGGAUUCGGCUGCUGCUCUAAUAAAGAUCGUGUCCGCUUGUACAAGGGAGAAGAGGAGGAAUUUCUCCACGUUAACCCAUAGGGUGGAUUAUCUAUGUACAAUCCCCCAAGUUGGGUAAGUGGACACUUUUACUUGCCCAUUCGUUUUAUAUUCCCAUCGUUAAAUAUUCAGUCUAACGACUUCAACGCAGGAACUGCGCCAGGCUGUUAAAGAAAUAAACAGCCCUCCUCCACAACCCGAGGAUCCGGGACGGUCCCUCGACCCAGCCUCUCAAGAGGAUCCGGACUUAUUUGUGGAGCUGAUUGAUGGGGUGUUUCAUCAAUUGAGCAAGGACAACGUCUUGGUGGCCAUUACGGUCGAUUACCCAGGGCUACUCCCAGCCUCACAGGUAACUGAGACCGAAGUCCCAGCACUUUGAAAAGGGAUCUAUCCUCGCAUGUUUUUGAUUGCCGUAUGACAACCGUGUUUUGCCGGGGAGGUCCUUGAGACGGGAGGCCGAGCCUGCGGCGACUAGCCAACGAGGGGCGGCAAGGCCCCGUGGGCUGAAAAGAAGUGCGGUCCGGACUGAGACGCCGGCGCAAAGGUAUAGCGAGCCUUCUUAUUCCCAGGUGUUAUUCCUUCAAGGCAUAUUAACGCUCGUGCUUUCUUCAGGACGAAGAGACCUCACCGGACUAUAUCCGAAGAGGUUUCCAAUUGCGCCUCCACCAGCCAGGCUCCAAAGCCUGGUCCGGAAGCGGAGGAGAACACAAGGCGCGCACCGGACGCUCCUCCGAGAGAGGAUGCGGACAAGCUGUCUGCCACCAAUUCCGAGGUGGAGAGUGCCAUGAACCACAGGCGUCGCCGGACAAUUCUUCGCGUCGCUUGUUUCUCCCAAGAGGCAUUGGAUGCCUUCAAUUCGGGAGAUGCGUACCUCCGUGCCGCUCAAAAUGGUCUAGCCAGAGCCACAGAGCAAUAUGUAGAAGACAUACGGGUAAGAAAAUUGUGGUAAUUAUAUAUAUACCAGUAGCCCCCGAGACUUGAAACAGUUAGAAUAACUGAUUUAAGGAUCAUUUGUUAUGCAGGUUCUUACAGAAAAGAAUACCCUACUGUCCCAGGAGCUGGAAGAGUGCAAAGCUUAACUUGAGGCCGCACUAGCCAUGGCAGGGGAGCCCAAGGAGACCCCCUCUGGUAAUAUACGCUUCGAAAGAUAAGUAUUUUGCGAAGUGCAGCGUGGGUGCAAAUCUGACAAAUGAAAUUGCAGAUGGCGCCGUAUUAAAUCCGGAAAAGCAACAACUCCUACGCUAGCUGAAGGCUGGUGAGAGUGUGCUGACAAAGGUGAGGCGGGAGAAGAACGAUCUCCAAGAUGCCAACACCAAGCUGGGCGUUGAACUGAAGGAUGUUCGUGCCCAGCUGUUGGACUCCGUUAAGGAGAAUCAGCGGCUUCGACGCAACAUAUUUAGUAAGUGCUUAAACGAACUUUGAAAAAAGAGUUCAGCGAGGAAGUCGACUAACAGAGUAAUGUCUGUAGGUAUGUUAACAGGUCGUCCUGCAGAGGAAAUGCCCAGUUCUACGGGUGACCUUCUUCCCGAGAUCUCACAACUGCAUGAGCGAGUUCGGCAGGUGAUGCAAUGCGUCGCCCAGGCCUUGUGGCCAUCUGUCUCCAUGCCCGAAGGCCUUGGAGAGCUUGUAGAGAAGCUGAAGGGAGCGCGGUGGCGCUUCCGAUUGUGGAAGAUGUCGGCCUGCCGUUAAGGCGCCAGGGAGGCCUGGGCCAUGGUGAAGACGCGGUACACGAAGGCUGACCCAAACCACAUGGCCGUGGUCGGACCCGUGGGGCCCGAUGGGAAGGAGAUCCCUGUGAGCUUAGUAUACGGCCAAGUAGAAUUGGCCGCAAAGUAUUCCCAACAGGUCUGUAAGCUAGACAGCCUGUUAGACAGUAUUGAAGAGGAAUACAAUCAGUCAGAUUGACUAUGUAAUUUUAAUUGACAUGUGUAAUGCCUUCUAGCCGGAUUGUAGAUUGUUUGUCAUGGCCGACCUUUUCGCUUCAACCUCGGGACCUGACGGUCCGGAGUGUGUCUGAAUACCCUCGCGGUUAUAUAAGAACCGGGGUUUGUAUGGAGACCAGGCAUAGGGGUCAUUAGUGCUUGAACAGACAAGUGCCCAACUAGUUAUGUUAUGUUACAUGGUUAGUAAGAAACAUCUUCCAGGGAGAAUAGUUCCGUUAGGGGUUCCUUUCCAUGGGAGGCAUGCCCUAAAGUGCAUGUCCAUUCUGCAAAAAGAGACGCGGGAAAAACAUCUGGGGCGUAUAGAUAAAUAAGUGAAAAAAAGAUCAUCUUUAGUUCACCGACCGAAUAUUCCCUUAAGAACGCUAGCUUUUGGCUUCACCCAGUCUAAGGUACACAUCCGGCUGACCCGGCAGUAACAAUCGCAGAGGUUCUCCCUUUACCACCUAGCCGAACAAUCGGGAACGUAGGGGUAAGCACAGGAGCCAGGCAACCCAGCUUGGCCAAAACUUAAGUCAUAUCGAUGCAUAUAAUGGUGAAUAAAAGGUACAUGCGGAAGUGUGACACAUGUGUUGGGCAUGAAGCCCGUAGAAAUAAGCUUCUAUUUAAAGAAGCCCCCAGGUUUAAUGAGCGCGGAUAGCGCGUCACUUUAUGAGCCUUUAAAGGCUAUAAGAGAGAGAGGGGGGAGAAGGAGAGAAAUGUAAGACAGAAAGUAUAUACGAAAUGGACAGAGGAAGGAGACGAACACAGAGUCCGGCGCUAGGCAUAGAAUCUUCGGAGACAGGCUGCGUUCCAUGGGUUCGGCUCGAGUCGGUUAUCCGAUGCAUCUCACAAGCGGUAUGCUCCACCAGUCAGGACUUGGUUAAUUAUGAAGGGACCUUCCCACUUGGGCUUGAGUUUGUCCUUUUUCUUGUCCGGCAGGCGUAGAACUAAUUCGCCAACGUUGUAAUUUUUGGCCGUACUUCUCUUCUUUGGUAUCUUUUGAGCCUGCUGUUGAUAGAAUGCGGAACGGGAUUUUGCCACGUCACGCUCUUCCUCCAAUGCGUCCAAACUGUCCUGCCGAUCGAGCUCGACUUCUCUUUCUUCAUACAUGUGCACUCGAGGUGAGUCAUGAAUUAUGUCACAGGGCAAAACUGCCUCUGCGCCGUACACCAUGAAGAAUGGUGUGUAUCCGGUGGUGUGAUUCGGCGUGGUCCGCAGCCCCCAGAGUGCGGAGUCGAGCUCCUCUACCCAGUGCGUAUUAGAUUCCUUAAGGGACCGCACUAAUCUGGGUUUGAUGCCGCUCAUGAUAAGACCAUUUGCACGUUCGACCUGGCCGUUAGUUUGUGGGUGAUAGACGGAAGCAUAAUCGAGCUUGAUGCCCAUGUUUUUGCACCAGAGUUUUACCUCGUCGGCCGUAAAGUUCGUGCCGUUAUCAGUGAUGAUGCUGUGGGGGACACCGUAACAGCGUACAACCCCGGAUAUAAAGUCUAUCACCGGUCCGGAUUCGACCGUCUUAACAGGCUUGGCUUCUAUCCAUUUGGUGAACUUCUCCACCAUGACCAGUAAGUAUUUUUUCUUGUGGGUUCCGCCUUUAAGGGGUCCAACCAUGUCAAGCCUCCAGACCGCGAAGGGCCAAGUGAUGGGGAUAGUUUGGAGGGCGGUGGGUGGCAUAUGGCUUUGGUUUGCAAAAAACUGGCAACCGACGCAUCGUUGGACUAAGUCCUGGGCGUCUGCCCGGGCCGUCGGCCAAUAAAAGCCUGUACGGAAGGCCUUGCUUACAAGGGACCGAGCUACAGCGUGAUGACCACCGAGUCCAGCAUGAAUUUCAGCCAGGAGGUUCCGCCCUUCCUCUUCGGAGAUGCACCUUUGAAGGACUCCGGUAGUGCUUUUCUUAUAAAGCUCUCCCUCAUGGACUUUAUAGGCUUUAGAUCACCGCACUAUGCAGCGUGCCUCAUUUUGGUCCUCUGGGAGUUCCUGCCUAGUAAGGUAGGCGAGGAAUGGUUCUGUCCACGGGGUGAUGACGGCCAUUAUUACGUGGGCUGAAGGUGUUAUUUCAUUGGCGGAGCCUCCAAUUAUGUCAGAGUGUUCGGUGUCGGGCAGUGCGGUUGGGUCCGGGCUGUUAUUGCCGGGUUCCCCUUCCCAUACUACGGAUGGCUUGAAUAGCCUUUCCAAGAAGAUGUUGGGGGGGACUACAUCGCGUUUUGCGCCGAUGCGUGCCAGGACAUCUGCCUCCUGAUUAUUUCCCCGGGCUAUAUGGUGAAAUUCGAGCCCUUUGAAAUGAGCUGACAUUUUUAGGACGGCGUUGCGAUAAGUUGCCAUUUUUGGAUCCUUGGCAUCAAAGUCUCCAUUUAUUUGGCAUAUUGCGAGGUUCGAGUCCCCGCGCACCUCUAGGCGUUGAAUGCCCAUGGAUACUGCCAUCCGGAGACCAUGUAAAAGGCCUCAUAUUCGGCUGCAUUGUUGGAGUCUGUGUACAUUAUCUGGAGUAUGUAUUGAACUGUGUCUCCUGUGGGGGAUGUCAAAACAAUGCCAAUCCCUAGACCAGCCAACAUUUUUGAGCCGUCGAAGUACAUGACCCAGUUUGAAUAUGUGCCGUACUCUUUAGGGAGUUCGGCCUCCGUCCAUUCUGCGACGAAGUCUGCCAAAACUUGCGACUUGAUAGCUCGCCGUGGCUUGUAAGUUAUGUCGAACGGAAGGAGCUUAAUGGCCCAUUUUGCAAUCCGGCCCGUCGUGUCGCGGUUGUUUAUAAUAUCGUUAAGUGGCACUUCCGAGGCUACUGUUAUUGAACACUCUUGAAAGUAGUGUCACAGCUUCCGGGAUGCCAUAAAUGCCGCGUACGCAAUAUUUUGAUAAUGCGGGUACCGUGACUUGCAUGGAGUAAGGACAAUGGACACCUAGUAGACCGGCUUUUGAAGCGGGAAUUUAUGUCCGUCCGUUUCUCGUUCGACGACGAGCACUGCGCUUACGACCUGAUGGGUUGCUGCAAUGUAUAAUAGCAUUGGUUCGCCAAUGUUUGGCGCGGCCAGGACUGGGUUUGUUGCCAAGAUGGCUUUUAUUUCGUCGAGUCCGGCCGUGGCUGCAUCCGUCCACUCGAAGUGUUCGGUGCACCAAAGGAGGCGGUAAAGGGGUAGGGCCUUUUCUCCCAAGCGGGAGAUAAGGAGGCUUAGGGCCGCCACGCAUCCGGUUAAUUUUUUUAUUUGUUUGAGGUCCUUCGGGAUAUCGAAUUGUGAUAGAGCUCGGAUCUUGGCUGGAUUUGCUUCAAUUCCUCUACCGGAUACAAUGAAGCCCAAGAGCUUUCCUGCUGGAACGCCGAAAACGCAUUUUUCCGGGUUGAGCUUGAUGUCGUAUGUUCGGAGGUUAUCGAAUGUUAGCCUCAACUUGUCUACUAGAGAUUCGACAUGUCUUGUUUUAACGACCACAUCAUCUACGUAUGCCUCCACUGUUUUGCCGAUCUAGUUUGCCAGACAUGUCUGAAUCAUGUGCUGAUAUGUUGCGCCGGCGUUUUUGAGUCCGAAGGGCAUUUUGUUGAAGCAGAAUGGGCCGUAUGGUGUGAUGAAUGCCGUUGCGGCUUGGUCUGACUCUGCCAUCUUUAUUUGAUGGUAGCCAGAGUAUGCGUCGAGGAAACACAACGAAUCGUGUCCUGCGGUAGCGUCGAUAAUUUGAUCAAUGCGGGGGAGGGGGAAGGGAUCCUUUGGGCAAGCCUUGUUAAGGUCUUUAAAAUUAACGCACAGGCGCCAGGAUUUGUCCUUCUUUGGUACCAUCACCAGGUUUGCUAGCCAGUCCGGGUGUUUUAUAUCUUUGAUGAAUCCGGCCUCCAAUAGCUUGGCUAGUUCCUCUCCCAUGGCCUGUCUCUUAGGUUCGGAAAAACACCGAAGAACCUGUUUGACUGGCUUGAAUCCUUUUAGGAUAUUUAAGUUGUGUUCGGCCAGCCUGCGUGGGAUUCCUGACAUGUCUGAAGGUUGCCAGGCGAAAAUGUCCUAGUUCUCUCGUAGGAACUCUUGCAGUGUGGCGUCUACAUCAGGGUUUAACUAUACCCCGAUGGAAGCUGUUUUAUUGGGGUCCGUUGGAUGGACCUGGAAUUUGACUAUUUCGUCCGCCGGUUUAAAGGAGGUGGACUUGGAUCUUUUGUCGAGUAUCACAUCGUCCCUAUUUACCGUGGAGCACAGCGCAGUCAGUUCCUCAGCCGCUAGGGCUUCGGAUAGCACCUCGAGGGCCAGUGCGACUGUCUUGUUUUCGGCGCGGAGUGCUAUGUACGGAUCACUAGCGAGAGUGAUGAUUCCGUUAGGCCCGGGCAUCUUGAGCUUCAUAUACCCGUAAUGGGGUAUUGCUUGGAAGAUUGUAAACGCUUCCCGCCCUAGUAGAGUGUGAUAUCCGCUACUGAACGGGGCCACUUGGAAUGUGACCUCUUCGGACCUGUAAUUAUCCGGCAUGCCGAACACCACAUCUAGUGUGAUUUUUCCUGUACAUCACGCUUCCCGACUGGGGAUUAUUCCUCUAAAUGUUGUGCUGCUUUGCUCAAUGCGGUUCUAGUCUAUUUCCAUUUUUUGAAGGGUUUCCUCAUAAAUGAGGUUCAAUCCGCUGCCGCCAUCCAUGAGUACCUUGGUAAGACGAAAGCCGUCCACUAUUGGACUAAGGACCAAUGCGGAUGGUGCUCGGGCUAUUCGGAAUUUAGGUUCAUCACUGGCGUUAAAAGUAAUAGCCGUGUCACUCCAUGGGUUUAUUGUUGCUACUUGGUAGACUUCGGCAAGGCUGCGGAGUGUUCUUUUUCACAUAUUAUUUGAUGCGAAAGUCUCGAAGACUGUUAAUACCGUAUUGGUGUCUCUGGGGUGGCUUUCUGUGGCUUCUGGAAUUAGAAGAUCUUCGCCAAUUUUUGCCACCUGCCAGAGUAUCCAACAUGCUCUAAGACUGUGAGUUGGUGUGGCGCCCUCUGCACUGUGAAUUUUACAGGGUCCAUUAAGGCAUCCUUCCAAUACGGUUCCGUGCCCUGUAGAGGGCUUUUGCUUUUUGGUAUUGAACCCGGGUGUCUGGCGAUGACGCACCCUUUUAUUUCGGACUGGGUUUGUAUUCAGGGCCGGAUUGUCCCAAAAUUUUAUUUCGGUUUUCCAGGCGCUUUCCAUCGCACAGUACUUUCGUACUAUGGACGCCAAGUCAGCGAAGCGUGUAAUAUCAUGACGACUUAUGGCGUUGAGGAUUCCCUUGUCCAUGCAAUUAUUGCAGAAGAAUGAAAUUGUGUCUUCCUCACUGCAGUCCUUUAUCCUGUUCAUAACCAGGAGGAAUCUGGCCCAGUAAUGAUGUAUUGUUUCUUCGAGCUCUUGCCUAAUUUGGGAUAGAUCGCUUAUGUACGGGUGGGUGGGUGGAAUCAAAUCCGAAACCUCACCCAAUCUGAGACCCAGGGGCGAAGGAGUUUCCGAACUCGGAAGUUUGGAUUCUUUGAAGUUAUCCAAUGAAUCUAGCCCAUCGUCUGACUUUAAGUUCAGGUCUUGAGUGAUGUCCUCCCCUCCGCGGGUAUACGGCUUGGAGGGAUCAGGAAUCCGGACAUAGCUAGUCCUUAAGAUAGAUGAAGGGUCGCCGCACUGUCCCUCUACCAUGACAACGUGAUGGGUGACCUGGGGAGAGUUAAUCUCUCUCAGAUCGGGUUUAGGCCCAAUCUGGUCGUAAUCCGUAGCGACUCCCAGGGCGGCGAUGCGAUCCAAGAGCUCGUUAAGGGAAGAGAGCUCCAUUGGAUCUAGCUGCUCGGCGAAUUCCGAGCUGACGUGAAGAUUUCUUUCGAUGACCCGAGAGGUCAUCAUCGGCGCAGCAGCCGAACAGGCGGUCAUAAGGAAACCACCUAGCCGGAGAGUUUGGCCGACAGCCAAAGCUCCCUUAGCAACGGUGCCGUCUUUAAAGAUGGGACGAGGCAUCCUUCCUGAUGGCGACGACAUAGAGGAACUCUCAAUGAAAGCACCAAUGUCGGUGUCAAAACCGGCGGAUCUUGGGUAGGGGGUCCCGAACUGUGCGUCUAGGCGGAUGGUAACAGGAGACUGGGGACACGAUGUUUUUACCCAAGUUUGGGCCCUCUCGAUGGAGGUAAAACCCUACGUCCUGCUUGGUUAAUAUUGAUGAUAUGGGUAGUACAAGAGUAGAUCUACCACGAGAUCAGAGAGGCUAAACCCUAGAAGCUAGCCUAUGGUAUGAUUGUCUGUCCUUACGAACUAAAACCCCCCGGUUUAUAUAGACACCGGAGAGGGCUAGGGUUACAUAGAGUCGGUUACAAUGGUAGGAGAUCUACAUAUCCGUACUGCCAAGCUUGCCUUCCACGCCAAGGAAAGUCCCUUCUGGACACGGGACGAAGUCUUCAAUCUUGUAUCUUCAUAGUCCAGGAGUUCGGCCGAAGGUAUAGUCCGGCUAUCUGGACACCCCCUAAUCCAGGACUCCCUCAGUCACCAUUUCCCAAGCCCACUCUGGUAUGGGCAGCGGUUGGAGGAGGCCGGGAUACUUGACAUGCUCUGGUUUGGCUUGUUUGCAAAUUGCACAAUUGCCCACAAACCUCUUCACAGCUUGUUUCAGUUUGGGCCAUGCAAAGAGCCUGAUAAUGCGGUUGUAUGUCGCCUGAACUCCCAAGUGUCCACCUAUUGCCCCUGAGUGCAGCUCAGGGAGAACUUUGUCUUGAGCCUCUUUGUUUUGACCCAGCCACACUCAUCCUUUGUACCCGAUGAGCCCUCCUGUCACUUGGAAAGGUCCUUUGAGGGCGAUCCCUUGUUUUGCUUUGGUCAACAUAUCACUACAACUGGGGUCCAUCUCAUACCCUUGCUUGACUUGGGUUAACCACGCUGGAACACAAACUGUGAUGGCAUAGUUGGACCCCGCUGGUCUGCGUGAUAAUGCGUCAGCAGCCAGGUUUGUUGCCCCUUUGGGAUACUCAAUUUUGUAUUGCAGCCCCAACAGUUUUGACAACGCCUUGUGGUGCCAGGGUGUGGUCAGACGUUGCUCGUCCAAACAAGUCAGGCUGCGAUGGUCAGUGCGAAUGGUGAACUCCGAUUGCAGCAGGUAUGUUCUCCAUCGUUCCACCGCCACUAGGAUGGCCAGGCACUCCUUCUCAUAGGUAGAUAACAUCCAGUGUCGAGGACCAAGCACUUGGCUCAAAAUCAUGAUUGGGUGAUGGCGCUGCAUCAGGACCGCACCGAUGCCAACGUCCGAUGCAUCGGUCUCCACUGUGAAAGGCUGCUUGAAAUCCGGCAGCACCAGCACUGGGGCUGAAGUUAGUGCUUGUUUCAAGGUCCUAAACGCUUGCUCACAUGUAUCUGUCCACUGAUAUGGCACGCCCAUCUUCAGUACAUCUGUGAGCGUACGGCUGAUCACCCCAUAAUGCUUGAUAAAUCGGCGGUAAUACCCGGCCAGUCCCAAAAACUGCCGCAAUUCCUUCACCGAGGUGGGUGGAUCCCAUGCUUGGACCUUAUCAAUGUUCUUGGGGUCAGUGUGUACUCCAUCCGCGCUGAUUACAUGUCCCAAGUACCUAAGCUGCGGCUGUGCAAAGGCACAUUUCUUGAUCUUGAGCUUGGGAGAGUACUUUUCCAGCCGCUAAAAUACCUCACGCAAGAGCUGGAUAUGCUCCCGGAGGGUUUUGUUAAAUACCAGAAUGUCGUCAAUGAAGACUAACAUGCCAUGGCGAAUCAGAGGUCCUAAAACAAUGUGCAUGCCUUGUUGAAAUGUAAAUGGCCCUCCGAUCAGUCCAUAUGGCAUCACCUUAAACUCGAAGUGCCCUUGAUGGGUUUGGAAGGCUGUCUUUGGCUCGUCCCCUGGGCGCAUCCGAAUCUGGUGGUAUCCCGAUCUCAAAUCGAGACUAGUGAACAUUGUUGCUCCAUGCAGCUCGUCCAGAAGUUCCUCGAUGGUCGGAAUUGGGUAUCUAUUUUUUAUGGUGAUUGCAUUCAAAUGGCGGUAAUUGACACAAAAUCUCCAUUCUCCGUCUUUUUUCUGCACAAGUAAAACAUGCAAUGAAAAAGGGCUGCGGCUGCACUGAAUGAUUCCUUGGCAUAGCAUCUCUCGGACUUGUGCCUCAAUCUCGUCUUUCUGGACAGGGUUGUACCUGUAUGGUCGCAUGUUCACCGGUUGAGCUCCUGGAAUGAGAUCAAUGGAAUGAUCAAACUCCCGCGAUGGUGGCAAACCUUGUGGCUCUGCGAACAAACUGCUGAAUUCCUCAAGCACAGCUUGAACUGCAGGUGGCACCGGGGCUGUUUCCACGUCUGCUUUGACCUCAGCUACCAACAACACAUGCGCGAUGGUUGUCUUUUCUUGCAACAGGUUCAGUUGGGUGUAUGAAACAGGUUCACAAAUGAUAUCCGAGCUAUUUAUCCCUUGGAGUUGCACCUGCUUGCUUUUGUGUGUAAAAACCAUCGAUUUUUCAGUCCAGUUAACUAUCAUCAGCCCUCGAGACUCGAGCCAAUCCAUCCCUAAUAUGAUAUCGUAGCAGCCGAGUGGAAAUAGCUUGAACGUGGAUCAGAACUGCUCCCCUUGGAUCUGAUAUUCACACAUCGGCAAUUCCUUAUCACACAGAGUAACUGCCCCAUCGGCCACCUUCACCUUCAAUGGAUGUUGCAUUGGUUGUCCCUGGCCAGUUCUGCACAACCUCUGAAUUGACAAAACUAUGAGAAGAGCCCGAGUCCACCAGCAUUAGUAGCACCUUGUUACCCAGUCGACCAUGAAGACGGAAAGCCUUGGGUGCCUCUGUACCAGUAACAGUAGCCACUGACGGGCACAAAUCUUCUUCUGAACUAUCCACCCGAGCACUUGGUGUGGGAUCCGGUGAUGUUGGUGGUGACAGCAUGCCCACCAGCUCUUCCACGACGUGCAGUUGUACAGUGGAGGCGCAAGUAUGUCCUGGCCCUCAUCGUUCGCCACAAGUGAAGCAUAGCCCAUGUGCUUUUUUGAAGUUGCACAAGGCCUUGAGCUUGUCGUCCACCGAUGUGGACGAACCCGUGGGCGUCUUGGCGAUGUCGAGCCCGCGGCGUGUCUCGAGUGGCGAUGGCGUUGGCGAGGUGCGCCCCGCCUGCGUGGGCACCAGAAGCGCGAUAGCCAGCGGAGGUCGCGAGGUGAAUCGCCCCGCUCGAGUAUGAGCGCCUCCUGGUCGAGAAGGCCCAUUGUUUUCCCGCUCGACACACACCAGCUCGACCACCUCCUCCUGCAAUUCAGCCAAAGAGACGGCAGUUUCCAAGUCUGGGAGUCGAUGAAGCAUCCUAGCAACCUUAAUGUCAUGAUGUAAUCCUUUGACAAAAUGAGUAGUAAAGAACAGGGGAUCCCAAGAGCUAUGAUGUGCCAACAAGCUGUGCAUGGAUAAAUUGAAUUGUUCGGCAUAUUCGAGAACUGGGCCUGUUUGCUUCAGUUUCGAAAACUUGCGCAGGAGGAACUGAAACUCAGAGCGCCCAAAUUUGUCUAGAACGGCUAUGCAAAACCCCUCCCAGUUAGCACACUUUAGAUGCAUUUUAGACCACUCUAACCACAAGGCAGCCGCCCCUGUGAAGUGAACAAUAGCAGUGUCCACCAAGACGUGCGGUUCAAGCCCACUCACACGGAAGAAAGCUUCACAAUGAAGGCGCCAACCCGUGGGAUUGUCGCCAUCAAAUUCAGGACACUCCAUGACUUUGUUGCCAAAACGGCCUCCCGUGCCUCCCUGAUUACUGCUACCGCCCAACUCUAUGGAAGGGGGAGGAGGAAACGGAGUUCGGAACGUACCAUUGGCCGGGACCGGCGUAGUGAGGAUCGGUCCCUCACUAGCCGAAACCCGUGGAAGUAGAGCCCUGCGGUGGCUAGUGUGCCCGUGAUCGUCAUCACCUUGCUCGAUGUUGGCCAGUGGCGCGUCCACCGUGACGGAAUUCGGCAUCGGCCUAUUGGCUAGCGCGGUGCAUGCCGCGAUCUUCUCCAGCUGCGCCCGGAUGUCGCCGAGGUCUGCUUGGAGUCGCCCCACCGCCGCGUCCAUGGUGGGUUGCCAGGUCGCGAGAUCCUGAACGACCGGCUCGAGUGCGACGAGCGUCGGCUCCAUCUUCGCGACCGCGGGCUCCAUCUUUGCGACCGCAGGGGCUAUCCGAUCCAGCGUCUGCUGGAUCGAUAGGAGGGCCUUGGCGAUGCCGCUUCACUCCGCCGCCGCUUCCUCCCACUGCUUCUGGGCAUCCGUCCCCGCCAUGAUCUCCUUGACACUGCGCGUCUUCGACGCCAGUUUACGAUGCGGAAGAGAAAUUUCUGGUGGAAUUGGAGGCUCUGAUUACCCGAUGACACGGAUCUAUAAUCUAGGCAACUGGAUUCACUCUUGCGGGCUCGAAUCAAGGAUACAAGUGUUUAGGGUUCCUAGAAGAGGGGGAUCGGGAUGAGAGAGCCAGGGAAGGAGGAAGAUACAUCGCCCAACGGCGCCGCCAGUCUGUGAUCCAACGAUACCCUAGCCAGUGGCUUGUCUCGCCUUAAGUAGUCUCACUUGCUCCACACUGGCCCCGUCAUUUGUUGGUUGGGCUUGGAGAUCCUCCAAGGCGAGACAAGCCACUGGCUAGGGUAUCGUUGGAUCACAGACUGGCGGCACCGUUGGGCGAUGUAUCUUCCUCCUUCCCUUGCUCUCUCAUCCCGAUCCCCCUCUUCUAGGAACCCUAAACACCUGCACGUGGUUUUGUAAACUAAUCAAGUACACUAGGACAGCUUGCACUGCUGAUUUUACUGCUUUCAUCGCUUUGCGUUUCUGUUCUCGCGCGACUGCAUGCGUCUCCUCGGCCGAGCACGCGCUCUCGUACCUAAAAGGCACCGGAUACGGGCAUGUUACAUGUCAGUCUAGCUUAUCAUCUGAUUCCCCGGAUGGGAUGAGAUGAGACCUAGAUUACGUGUGCUUAGCUGAUGGGAACCACACUUUUCUGGUGCUUAUACAUAUAUUGUGUGAAGUUGUCUUUUCUUAAAUGAACGUUGUCUUUUCUUCCAAUGCAUUUCUUUCCAACGUGGUAAAGCAGCAUUGCUAUGUUAGGAAUUUAACGGUUCAAGGAAUUUUAAAAAUAAAUUAAAUUAUAUUUUCUGAUAACAAGCCAUCUCAAGUCAGAUUCGGUAUUUCUAUUUUUACCAUUUCCGUAAACGUAUCUUCGAAAAAUCUUAUAGCAUUCUAGAGUUUUCCAAGAAAAAAGGCAUUAGAGUAUUGUCAAUGCUAUCCCCUAAAACGGACAUAGUAUCUGUCUAUGGACAGUGAUACAGGAGCCGGCCAUCCAACCCUAUCCAUCAAACGUCGGGGCACAUUUUAAACGGUAUUUGAACAAAACGGAUGAUCAUUUAAACUAGACUAAAUUCAUGACCUUUUUGCAUAUUUCAUUUUAAAAAGUGUACAUGGCAUUUUUUAACAUAAAAUGUUAAUCUAGUCUAAAUGUUCGCCAGCCGUGGAGGUGUCCUUGUUCCAUGUCCCGUCUUCCCCAUGGCUGGCAUCUUUGCCAGGCCUGAGCUCCGUGAAGUGAAGCUGUGGCUCGCCGGGGACGAAGAGUAAGACAUGGGACACGGCCAUGCCCACAUGGGAUACGGAUGCCUUCGUCUACCAUGUCCUACUCUUCCUUGUCGAAUUCCAUUGCUUGGGCGUCGUCGGUCGAUGUGAGGUCCAAGAUGGACGUGGACGGGCCAGACAAGUGGUCGUUGUGGCCCGAUGGUACUGUGGGUGAUGCAGAGCUGCCGAUGUUCCCGUUCACGAUCGCCUAAGCCGCGGUGCCCGCCUAAACCGUGACUGUGUUGCAGUCGGCGCGAGAGCCGCACGUGGUCUCCUAGAGCGCUCCCUGCGGGUCGACGAAGUUUGGGUCCUCCGAGGCCAUGGCCGCCGUGGCCUCCUCGCUUGUGAAGUCACCGUAAAUUUUGCCCUCAGCCAGCCGGUGAUGCCGGAGGUUGGAGAGGUUGUAGCCUUGCUCCUCUCGAUCCAGCCAAAACACCGACAAUGGUGGUGCUGGCUGCUCCUCCGUCAUGACGAUGUUGAUGUGUGGUUUCGCGAUGGACCUGUGUGGACAGGGGUGCCGGCUCGUUGUCAUGUCAACGUCUCUCACCUCCGGCAAUCCGGCCUCUAUUCGUCGCGCAUGACAGUGCUGCUAGUCGGUCGCAAGGCUGGCCAACUCGUGCUUCAUCUCAGCCUAGAGAGUCUCCCACUUCGCUCUAAAGCUUGCCGUGGUAGAGGUGGUGCACAGAGGAGGAACGAAAAUGGACGUGGUGUGGUGCGUAUCAGGUUGUGAGCAGCCACGUAUAAAUAACGGGCAUCGACCAAACCAAACAUCAAGUUGUUUCAGUGCGGGCACCAGAGUGGGUUUUUCGCCUAUCACACCUGCUUAAUGUCGACACAUGAAUAGGUGAGGAUCCGACUUCAAUGCGGUAUAUAGUUGUCUCGUUGCCCCAUCCGGCCACGUCUCUCCGGCAUUGAACAUGCGUCACUACUGCAGAACGGGGCUACAACACCGGUUCGUAAGGCCUUUUAGUGCCGGUUCGGUAACCGGCACUAAAGUGUGGGGACUAAAGGCCCCCCCUUUAAUACCGGUUCCGCACGAACCGGCGCUAAAGGGCAACCACGUGGCACGAGCCAGCUCCGGGGGCGCGUAGGACAUUAGUACCGGUUGGUAACACCAACCGGUAGUCCGGUACUAAAUGUUUGGGUGUGUUUUGGUUUUAUUUUUUUACUUUUACUUUAAUUUUGUGUUUUCAAUUUAAUUUAGUGAUUGUUUUACAUUAUAAUGAGUUGUUAAAUCAUUAGGUGAAAGUACCGCAGAUUAGUUUGACUGGAUGCAUGUGGAUCCUAGCUAAGUCAUCAAGUAUAUGCCAUAUCCAUAUUAUAUAUACUUGAUCACCUAAUUAAGUGAUCGAGGUAAUAUGGAUAUAGCAUAUACUUGAUCACUUAGCUAGAAUCCAUCCAGUUGAAACUAAUCUGCGUUUUCUUUCAUAAAUGAUAUAAUAACUCAUCAUCAUCAUCUUCAUCAUCAUCAUAUUAAUAUAAAAACUCUUGCAUCAUAUAUAUCAUCACCAACAACAGUUUUCAUAGCUAGCUAAAAAUCAUCAUAUAAUAGUCGUCUCUUUACCACUACUUAAUCAUCAUAUAGUCAUUACCGCUAUCUAAUCACCGCCAACACUAGCUUAAAGAAGAAACAUUCACUUGUACCAGAAGCAAAGAUAUCAUCAAGUUCAACAUGGUAACGAUAUUAUAAGCAUUCAUAACACCACAAAAGCAUGCAGAUGAACCUGUCUCCUAAUCGUGGGUUGCGCUUCUGAUUGUUGCCCCUAGUACUUCUCUGUGAUCGUUCACAAUUUUUCUCCAGUCUUUUACUAUUAAGCAUUCCUCGCUAUUAGAAAACCUGAAUGCACUAAAGUGCAUUGUAGGAUAUCUUGGGCGUAAGCUAACAACAUUCAUGGUACCUUUAGUCUUGAUCCAAUCAGGCACAACAUUCAUCGGGAGUCCCUGUUGAAGAACAUCGUAUAGUAACAUACUUAGCAAUGCAGUUUAGCUUAAAAAAUAAUGUAUGCAAAAGAUGCACUUAGGAGAAAUAAUAGAAAUCUUACCAUCUUUCCUAAAUAUAUGUGACCAUAGUUCAGUACGAACACUAUUGGUCGCACGUUUUGAGUACUAACAUUUGUAAGUGCAGGAAAUUUUUUUGUCUUGACAGCAUCAAGAUCCUCAAGCCAUGAAACAUAAUGACUUGUCUCCUUGCAGUUUAGUUCAGCCCCAGGACAGUGGACAGUCCUGUCUACCAAGCGCUGGACAUGUUUGCUUGAUCGGAAAUAAGCUGUCAAUAUAAAUUACUUGUCAACUAUUUUUGAAUAAACAAUAUCAAAGACAUAAAUAUGGUUGAGAAACUCACAUAAUGGUAGAACUGGAGGCGUCUGCACAUCGACCCAGAUGUCUAUAUUACCUUCAAUAUCAUCUUCCGGACGAAUAUCAAAGGUGAUAACCAUAUCAGGCUCAAAUACAUAAGCCUUGCAUAGUGCUUGCCAAGUUUUGCAUUCAAAAUAGGUGUAUGUGUCUGCAUUGUAUAAUUUGACGUUGAAGGUAUAACCAUGCUCGGUCUUUAAGUAAACUUUUUUUACUUCCAUAGUUUUGUUAGGACUGAAACCUAUCUUAUCCAAGAUAAAAAUUCUUGCAUGGCACAGGAUACGCUAGUAGAAUAGUGAAAAAUUAAAAUUAAAAGUUGAAGCAAAUGAAGCAUAAGUCAUGCUUAAUUACGAAAAAAGACUUGUCGUUCUGAUUUACUGUAUCCACUUCGAAGUUCUCAUCCAGCUUGAUGCUGAAGCGCCUAUCAUCAAUUAGAAAAUUUCUGCCGCAUAGGCCGCGCUGGUCUUCGCAGUAUUCGCACAUAAUGAAAUUGUGUUCGUCGUCAGACGACAUUCCUAUGUUCAUAGGUGAAACAUUAAACACUUAUUAGUUCUAUUAAUUCAACUAAUUCAAUUAAGCACUUACGAAAAGUAUACCUACAUAAAGUAGCUCAACUAAUUCCACUAACUAGUUCAACUAAUUAAUUUGACUAAUUCAACUAAACUAGUUCUAUUAAUUUUCNNNNNNNNNNNNNNNNNNNNNNNNNNNNNNNNNNNNNNNNNNNNNNNNNNNNNNNNNNNNNNNNNNNNNNNNNNNNNNNNNNNNNNNNNNNNNNNNNNNNNNNNNNNNNNNNNNNNNNNNNNNNNNNNNNNNNNNNNNNNNNNNNNNNNNNNNNNNNNNNNNNNNNNNNNNNNNNNNNNNNNNNNNNNNNNNNNNNNNNNNNNNNNNNNNNNNNNNNNNNNNNNNNNNNNNNNNNNNNNNNNNNNNNNNNNNNNNNNNNNNNNNNNNNNNNNNNNNNNNNNNNNNNNNNNNNNNNNNNNNNNNNNNNNNNNNNNNNNNNNNNNNNNNNNNNNNNNNNNNNNNNNNNNNNNNNNNNNNNNNNNNNNNNNNNNNNNNNNUUCAACUAAGCAUUUACUAAAAAUAAACUAGUUAUAUUAAUUCAACUAGUUCAAAUAAUCUCAUAUACCUAAAUUUUCUUACUAAAAAUAAACUUGUUCUAUUAAUUUUCAUACUAAAAAUAAACUAGUUAUAUUAAUUCAACUAGUUCAAAUCUCAUAUAUAUACCUAAUUAAUAUCUAGCUAAUUCAUCUAAAAUUGACAUUAAUAUUUAACAUCUUUUCCAUAUAAUUCAUCUAAUAUUAACAUUCUAACAUUCNNNNNNNNNNNNNNNNNNNNNNNNNNNNNNNNNNNNNNNNNNNNNNNNNNNNNNNNNNNNNNNNNNNNNNNNNNNNNNNNNNNNNNNNNNNNNNNNNNNNNNNNNNNNNNNNNNNNNNNNNNNNNNNNNNNNNNNNNNNNNNNNNNNNNNNNNNNNNNNNNNNNNNNNNNNNNNNNNNNNNNNNNNNNNNNNNNNNNNNNNNNNNNNNNNNNNNNNNNNNNNNNNNNNNNNNNNNNNNNNNNNNNNNNNNNNNNNNNNNNNNNNNNNNNNNNNNNNNNNNNNNNNNNNNNNNNNNCGGCGGGGGCGACGGCGUUGACGGCGACGACGGGCGACGGGGGCGACGGCGCGCGGCGGGGCCUGCGAGGGCGGCACGUGAUGGGCAACGAUGCGGCGACGGCGGCGAUGUCGCGCAAAUAAGUUGGAGAAGAAGUGGUGGUCGAUGAAACUGAAUUUUUUGUAAGUGGCACAUAUAUAAGAAGGACCUUUAGUACCAGUUGGAGCCACCAACCGGUACUAAAAACCAAUUUUCGCCAGGCCAAGGGGCGGGAAAUGGCCCCUUUAGUACCGGUUCAUGCCACGAACCGGUACUAAACGCCCACUCAUUAGUACCGGUUGGAGCCACCAACCGGUACUAAUGGUUGUGCGCUGUUACCGGUGGUGCACAAUGUUUAGUCCCACCUCGCCGAGCAAAGGGCAGUCGCACUGGUUUAUAAACCCAGCCGCGGCUGCUCCUUCGAACUUCUCUAUAUAGCAGGCUUCUGGGCCUAACUAUGGCGCGCUGCCCUAUGAGCCCGCUGGCCCUUCAGGGCCUGCAUUUGCACACUCUAGGUCUGGCAGGCCCACUGGGCAGCGCCCCAACGAAUUUUUUAUAUAGUUUUUUCUUUUCUGCAUUAUUUAUUUUUCUUCUAUUUAUUUUUGAGUAAUUUUUAUAUAAUUUUUUCUUUUCUGCAUUAUUCAUUUUUUCUAUUUAUUUUUGAGUAAUUUUUUAUAUAGUUUUUUCUUUUCUACUUUAUUUAUUUUCUUCUAUUUAUUUCCGCGUAGUUUUUUUAUGUAUUUAGUUUCUUUGUGACCCUCUCUACUCUUUCGCACAUGCUAUGCGGGUGAAAUGAUGAUACCAUGGCAAGUUUUAACAUUUUCAGAGUUUAUUUUGUAGUGAUUUUUAAUUUCACGGUCAUUUAGCUCUCUAAACAAUUCGGUAAAUGACUGAAAAACAGCAAAUGAUGUGAGAGCGUGUUGGAAAUUGAUGACGUCACUUUGAAUACUGCAUAAUGAACGCAAAAGAAGUCCGGAGUUCAAAUAAGUUUUAAAAACAUUGAAGUGCCCGUGCAACAGAUGCGUUCUCGUCCGAAACCAUGAUACUCCGAAAGAGAUUGUCCAGUUUGUACACGAAGUGUGUCCAGUUUUUUCGGUGACCCUCUCUACUCUUUUGCACAUGCUAUGCGGGUGAAAUGAUGAUACCAUGCCAAAUUUCAACAUUUUUAGAGAUUCAUUUUGUAGUGAUUUUGAAUUUCACGAUCAUUUAGCUCUCUAAAAAAUUGGUAAAUGACUGAAAAACAGCAAAUGAUGUCAGAACGUGUUGGAAAUUGAUGACAUCGGUUUGAAUGCUGCAUACUGAACGCAAAAGAAGUCGGGAUUUCAAAUAAUUUUAAAAAACAUUGAAGUGCCCAUGUAACAGAUUUGUUCUCGUUCGAAACCCUGAUACUCCAAAAGAGAUUGUCCAGUUUGUACACGAAGUGCGUCCAGUUUUUUGCCGUGACCCUCUCUACUCUUUUGGACAUGCUAUGCAGGUGAAAUGAUGAUACCAUGCCAAGUUUCAACAUUUUCAGAGUUCAUUUUAUAGUUAUUUUUCAAUUUCACGGUCAUUUAGCUCUCUAAACAUAUCGAUAAAUGACUGAAAACAGCAAAUGAUGUCAGAACAUGUUGGAAAUUGAUGACGUCGCUUUGAAUGCUGCAUACUGAACGCAAAAGAAUUCCGGAGUUCAAAUAAGUUUAAAAAACAUUGAAGUGCCCGUGUAACAGACGAGUUCUCGUCUGAAACCCUGAUACUCCGAAAGAGAUUGUCCAGUUUGUACACGAACUGCGUCCCGUUUUUGCCGUGACCCUCUCUACUCUUUUGCACAUACUAUGCGGGUGAAAUGAUGAUACCAUGCCAAAUUUCAACAUUUUCAGAGUUUAUUUUGUAGUGAUUUUCAAUUUCACGGUCAUUUAGCUCUCUAAACAAAUCGGUAAAAAAUGACUGAAGAACAUCAAAUGAUGUCAGAACAUGUUAGAAAUUGAUGACGUCGCUUUGAAUGCUACAUACUGAACACAAGAAGUCAGGAGUUCAAAUAAGUUAUUAAAAAUAAAAAAGAGGUGCAAUGAUGGUUAAUUAGCUUCAAGCCUUUCGGAAUAGUGUAAACUGGACUACAGAUAGCUCCAUGCAAUGUAUGCUACUCUAAAAGGCUUGAAGCUAAGCAACGUGCAGGUGAGCAUUGCGCCUCUCCUUCAUCGUAUAUGCACUCACGGCUUAUAAACCGCUCAUACUGCCUCUCUCUUAGCAAGGUGGGACUAAAAAUCAGCUUACUAAGAAACUCUAGUACCGGUUCAUGCCAUGAACCGGUACUAAACGUCUUCGUGGGGGCCCCAGCCUGACCACAGCAUGACACAACCUCAUUAGUACCGGUUCAUGGCAUGAACCGGUACUAAAGGUUGCCCACGAACCGGUACUAAUGAUGUGCCCGAGAUGGCACGUGCUCGAGAGAAUAUUUUGAUUGGACCAGGAUGACGAACGGGUACGUGGUGGUGGUUCGUAAGCCUGCCAACAUCCCCUUGCUUUGCGUCUAGUUCGUAGGAUUUCGGACAAGCCGACGCAUCUGCACAUUGAUAGGUGUACAUCAUUGGAUGGCUUGCAGCGCCAAGACUCCUCGAUGCCCUUAGUAUUUAGUGAUAGACGACACACCGGCCAAUACUUGUAUGCAUGUAUUGCAUUCUUCAAUUCAUAUUUUCACUCUUUAAUCCUCACCAUAAUGAUCAAUGUAUACUAUCAGUUUGAGUUAAUAUUUCGUACCACAUCAAUAAGAUGGCAUGCUAAUGACAUGAGUUUUUCUAAGAUCCAUGACUUCGAUAAGUACAUGACUAAUUGUGAUGUGGCAAACAUGCAUGUCUUGGUGAGGUUGGUGAGUGCAUGUUGUAAGACUUAAAGGUAGUGGAUGUGAGGCAUGGCUAAAAAAUAGUGAAUGCUGACAUUCAACACUUUGUGAGGUGGAGGGCUGCGUGUUGAGAGAAUUGCUUGUAGUGGGGAUUAACAUUUUAAAAAUAUUUUGCUUUUAGUGGGAAUGAACUUUUUAGGAAUAAAGGAUUUAGGAAGACAAAAAAAAUUGAAUUUUUCUCAAAGGUAAUAGAUUAUUACCAUGUUUUCUUUUAGAUGACACUUACAAAGUGUUCCUCGCAUAUGCGAGGGCACCAUCUUUAAUUAUUUUGCUCAAACUUUGAAAUUGUUAACUUUUUUAUGAUUUCCUAGAUGUUCUCAUUAUGGCUAUAAUAAACAAUACAAUUUUUGUGUUAAAAAAUAUCAUGCCUUUCUAGGAUCAAUAUUUCAUAAUUUUAUUUGUAUGAGCCAUAAUGGUAAACACUUCCUAAAAGAUGUACAAAUAACAUUUCCCAAUAGAGCACAAUUUUAAAAGGGUUAAUCACAUUGUACUCAUUAAGCACCACCACUAAAGGUAUACAGUUUGUUCGCCACAUCAAGAAUCCAUAACAUACAAUAGUACUUCUCAAAAAGAACGAGAACACUUCAUAGACAAUACAUAUUCAUUUAUAUCGAAAAUAAAAUAAAAUAUAACAACUAAUAUGGGUUUAAAUAAUAUUUUCUUACUACUUCGUCAAGUUAAGGAGGAAAAAGAACAUCUUCCAUAAUAUUCCCGUAAAUAAUGAUGGAGAAUUGAAGCAUUAUUCCAUUGUAUACAUCAAACAUAAAAAACUGCGAUGAGCCUACAAAAAUGUUAUGGACUAUAAAUGGAGAAUGGUCCAAAAAUGAUCGUUAUAAAUUGUUCAAAUCACAAACUUUCCAGUCAAUCCUUUCAAAACAAUUAACCCAUUAAUCCUAUAAGGAAUGCUAGAGUGCACGCCUUCCUGGGUUUUUCGAGGGUGAAGAGAGGCUCGUGUCCAUCCAUUGCCAGUUGGCUUGCGGCGAGAGCCUCGCGUGGCAGCACCGGGCCAUCCGAUCUGCCCGGACAGCUCGGAACCGGGUGACCCAGCUGGAAGCUCGAUGACGAGUGGCCCAAGGGCGCGUGAUCGCUAUAGUCAGCGUGUGUCCAUGACAUGUGGAACCAGGGCGCAUGAUCUCUACAGUUGAGCGAAGAAAGCUUCCCAGUCAUCCUUUGCUGGGUAGAUUGCGAAGGAAGGCUCUCAGGGAUAAGGCGAGCUGUUCAAUCUGACCGCUCGGCUCGCACCCGGGCGAGCCAGCUGGAAGGUCGAUGACGGGUGGACCAAGGGCACGUGAUCACUGAUACGUCUCCAACGUAUCUAUAAUUUUUGAUUGCUCCAUGCUAUAUUAUCUACUGAUUUGGACAUUAUUGGGCUUUAUUAUCCACUUUUAUAUUAUUUUUGGGACUAACCUAUUAACCAGAGGCCCAGCCCAGAAUUGUUGUUUUUUGCCUGUUUUAGGGUUUUGAAGAAAAGGAAGAUCAAACGGAGUCCAAACGGAAUGAAACCUUCGGGAACAACUCAGGAGACUUGGACCCUACGUCAAGACACGUAACAGGAGGCCACGAGGUAGGGGGAUGCGCCUACCCCCCAAGGCGCGCACUCCACCCUCGUGGUCCCCCAGUUGCUCCACCGACGUACUUCUUCCGCAUAUAUAUACCCACGUACCCCCAAACGAUCAGAAAAGGAGCCAAAACCCUAAUUCCAUCGCUGUAACUUUCUAUAUCCAAGAGAUCCCAUCUUGGGUCCUGUUCCGCAGCUCCGCGGAGGGGGCAUCGAUCACAGAGGGCUUCUUCAUCAACACCAUAGCCCCUCCGAUGAAGUGUGAGUAGUUUACCUCAGACCUACGGGUCCAUAAUUAGUAGCUAGAUGGCUUCUUCUCUCUUUUUGGAUCUCAAUACAAUGUUUUCCCCCUCUCUUGUGGAGAUCUGUUUGAUGUAAUCUUCUUUUUGCGGUGUGUUUGUUGAGACCGAUGAAUUGUGGGUUUAUGAUCAAGUCUAUCUAUGAAUAAUAUUUGAAUCUUCUCUUAAUUCUUUUAUGUAUGAUUGGUUAUCUUUGGAAGUCUCUUCGAAUUAUCAGUUUGGUUUGGCCUACUAGAUUGAUCUUUCUUGCAAUGGGAGAAGUGCUUAGCUUUGGGUUGAAUCUUGCGGUGUCCUUUCCCGGUGACAGUAAGGGCAGCAAGGCACGUAUUGUGUUGUUGCCAUCGAGGAUAACAAGAUGGGGUUUUCUUCAUAUUGCAUGAGUCUAUCCCUCUACAUCAUGUCAUCUUGCUUAAGACGUUACUCUGUUUUUAACUUAAUACUCUAGAUGCAUGCUGGAUAGCGGUCGAUGAGUGGAGUAAUAGUAGUAGAUGCAGGCAGGAGUCGGUCUACUUGUAUCGGACGUGAUGCCUAUAUACAUGAUCAUACCUAGAUAUUCUCAUAACUAUGCUCAAUUCUGUCAAUUGCUCAACAGUAAUUUGUUCACCCACCGUAGAAUAGUUAUGCUCUCGAGAGAAGCCACUAGUGAAACCUAUGGCCCUCGGGUCUAUCUUUAUCAUAUCAAUCUCCUACUACUUAGUUAUUUACUUUGCCUUUAUUUUACUUUGCAUCUUUAUCAUAAAAUAUACUAAAAAUAUUAUUUUAUCAUAUCUAUCAGAUCUCACUCUCGUAAGUGGCCCUAUAGGGAUUGACAACCCCUAUUUACGUUGGUUGCGAGGAUUUAUUUGUUUUGUGUAGGUGCGAGGGACUCGCGCGUAGCCUCCUACUGGAUUGAUACCCUGGUUCUCAAAAACUGAGGAAAAUACUUACGCUACUUUGCUGCAUCAUCCCUUCCUCUUCGGGGAAAACCAACGCAGUGCUAAAAGAGGUAGCAAUCACUAUAGUGAUCGCAUGUCUGUGACGGGUGGACCAAGGGCACGUGAUCGCUAUAGUCAACACGUCUACAUGAUGGGUGGACAUAGACCGUCAUCCAGUAGACUUUGGCACAAACGGCUUGGACACGGGCGCCCCACCUAGACGAUCCAAGGCAAGUGGAGCAUGAGCGCAUGCCCAGGGCCACUGUCAUGCGGCGUCUCAUGUCGCACCAGCGCCCACGUGAAGGAAAUAUGCCCUAGAGGCAAUAAUAAAGUUGUUAUUUAUAUUUCCUUAUAUCAUCAUAAAUGUUUAUUAUUCAUGCUAGAAUUGUAUUAACCGGGAACUCGAUACAUGUGUGGAUACAUAGACAAAACAAAGUGUCCCUAGUAAGCCUCUACUAGACUAGCUCGUUAACCAAAGAUGGUUAAGUUUCCAAGCCACAGACAUGUGUUGUCAUUUACUGAACGAGAUCACAUCAUUAGUAGAAUGAUGUGAUGGACAAGACCCAUCCAUUAGCUUAGCAUAAUGAUCGUUAAGUUUUAUUGCUAUUGCUUUCUUCAUGUCAAAUACAUAUUCCUUAGACUAUGAAUUAUGCAACCCCCGGAUACUGGAGGAAUACCUUGUGUGCUAUCAAAGUCACAAUGUAACUGGGUGAUUAUAAAGAUGCUCUACAGGUAUCUCCGAAGGUGUUUGUUGGGCUGCCAUAGAUCGAGAUUAGGAUUUGCCACACCGAGUAUCGGAGAGGUAUCUCUGGGACCUCUCGGUAAUGCACAUCAUAAUAAGCCUUACAAGCAAUGUGACUAAUGAGUUAGUUGCGGGAUGAUGCAUUACGGAACGGGUAAAUAGACUUGCCGGUAACGAGAUUGAACUAGCUAUGAAGAUACCGACGAUUGAAUCUCGGACAAGUAACAUACCGAUGACAAAGGGAAUAAUUUAUGUUGUCAUUACGGUACGACCUAUAAAGAUCUUUGUAGAAUAUGUAGGAACUAAUUUCAGCAUCCAAGUUCGGCUAUUGGUUAUUGACCGGAGAGGCGUCUCGGUCAUGUCUACACAGUUCUCGAACCCGUAGGAUCCGCGCGCUUAACGUUUGAUGAUGAUUUUGUAUUAUAUGAGUUAUGUGAUUUGGUGACUGAGUGUUGUUCGGAGUCCCAGAUGAGAUCACGGACACGACGAGGAGUCUCGAAAUGGUCGAUAAGUAAAGAUUCAUAUAUAGGACGAUAGUAUUUGGACACCGGAAGUGUUCCAAGGGUACCGGGUACGUAUCAGGUCACCGGAAGGGGUCCCCGGCAACCCCCGGCAAGCUAGAUGGGCCUAAUGGGCCCAGACCAGCCCCAAAAGAGGCUGGUGCAUGCCCUAUAGGCCGGUAGGAUAAGGAAAGGAAGGGAAGGGAGAAGGAAAGGGGAGGAUUCGGCCUCCCCCUUUGCUUCCCCUCCCCCUCUCUUACCUUCCCCCUCCGAUGGAUAUGGAGGGGGGGAGGCCGACUUGGAGGAGGCGCCCAAGUAGGAUUACUCCUACUUAGGGCACUCCUUGCAACCCCUCUCCCUCUCCCACCCAUAUAUAAGUGGGAGGGGGCACCGCUAGAACACAGAACAUUGAUUCCUAGCCGUGUGCGGCACCCCCUCCAUAGUUUAUGCCUCCGGUCAUAUUUUGUCGUUGUGCUUAGGCGAUGCCCUGCGCGGAUCACUUCACCAUCACCGUCACCACGCCGUCGUUCUGGCGAAACUCUCCCUCGACACUUUGCUGGAUCAAGAGUUCGAGGGACGUUAUGGAGCUGAACAUGUGCAGAACUCGGAGGUGUCGUACGUUCGGUGCUUGAUCGGUCGUAACGAGAAGAAGUUCGACUACAUCAACCCCGUUGUCAAACGCUUUCGCUUUCGGUCUAUGAGGGUACAUGGACACACUCUCCCCCUCUCAUUGCUAUGCAUCUCCUUGAUACAUCUUGCGUGAGCGUAGGAAUUUUUUUUUUUGAAAUUGCAUGCUACAUUUCCCAACAGUGGUAUCCGAGCCAGAUCUAUGCGUAGAUGAUAUGCAUGAGUAGAACACAAAGAGUUGUGGGAGGUGAUUGUCAUACUGCUUGCCACCAAUGUCUUACUUUGCUUUUGGCGGUAUUGUUGGAUGAAGCGGCGCGGACCAACCUUACAUGACCACGUUCAUGAGACCGGUUCCACCAACAGAGAUGCAACUAGUUUUGCAUAAAGGUGGCUGGCGGGUGUCUGUUUCUCCAACUUUAGUUGAAUCGGAUUUGACUGCGGUCGGUCCUUGUUGAAGGUUAAAACAAAAAAACUUGAUAAAUCACCAUUGUGGUUUUGAUGCGUAGGUAAGAACGGUUCUUACUAGAAUCCCAUAGCAGCCACAUAAAACUUGCAACAACACAGUAGAUGACGUCUAACUUGUUUUUGUAGGGCAUGUUGUGAUGUGAUAUGGUCAACACAUGAAGUGAUAUACGUUAUUGUAUGAGAUGAUCAUGUUUUGUAAAAGUUAUCGGCAACUGGCAGGAGCCUUAUGGUUGUCGCUUUAUUGUAUGAAAUUCAAAUGCCAUGUAAUUGCUUUACUUUAUCACUAUGCGUUAGCGAUAGUUGUAGAAGCAAUAGUUGGCGAGACGACCAGGACCCUACAAAGGAGAUCAAGGUGUCAAGCCGAUGAUGAUGGAGAUCAUGACGGUGCUUUGGAGAUGGAGAUCAAAGGUGCAAGAUGAUGAUGGCCAUAUUAUGCCACAUAUUUUGAUUGCAUGUGAUGUUUAUCUUUUAUGCAUCUUAUUUUGCUUAGUACAGCGGUAGCAUUAUAAGAUGAUCCCUCACUAAAAUUUCAAGGUAUAAGUGUUCUCCCUGAGUAUGCACCAUUGCGACAAUUCACCAUGCCGAGACACCACGUGAUGAUCGGGUGUGAUAAGCUCUACAUUCAUAUACAAUGGGUGCAAGAAAGUUUUGCACAUGCGGAAUUCUCGGGUUAAACUUAACGAGCCUAGCAUGUACAGACAUGGCCUCGAAACACUGGAGACCAAAAGGUCGAACAUGAAUCAUAUAGUAGAUAUGAUCAACAUAGAGAUGUUCACCGUUGAUGACCACUCCAUCUCACAUGAUGAUCGGACAUGGUUUAGUUGAUUUGGAUCGCGUAUCAUUUUGAUGACUUAAGUGGGAGUUCUUAAGUAAUAUGAUUAAUUGAACUUAAUUUAUCAUGAACUUAGUCCUGAUAGUUUUUGCAUAUCUAUGUUGUAGAUCAAUGGCCCAUGCUACCGUACCCUUGAAUUUUAAUGCGUUCCUAGAGAAAGCUAAGUUGAAAGAUGAUGGUAGCAACUACACAGACUGGAUCCGUAACUUGAGGAUUAUCCUCAUUGCUGCACAAAAGAAUUAUGUCCUUGAUGCAACGCUAGGUGACAAGCCCCCUCCCGCUAAUUAGACGCUUUGAACGUCUGGCAGACUCGGUCUGAUGACUACUCUAUAGUUCAGUGUGCCAUGCUCUACGGCUUAGAAUCAAGACUUCAAAGAUGAUUUGAACGUCAUGGACCAUAUGAGAUGUUCUAGGAAUUGAAGUUAAUAUUUCAAACAAAUGCUCGAGUUGAGAGAUAUGAAGUCUCCAACAAGUUCUAUAGCUGCAAGAUGGAGGAGAAUAGUUCUGCCAGUGAACACAUACUCAGAAUGUCUGGGUAUCAUAAUCACUUGACUCAGCUGGGAGUUAAUCUUCUGGAUGAUAGUGUUAUUGACAGAGUUCUUCAAUCACUGCCACCAAGCUACAAAGGCUUCGUGAUGAACUAUAAUAUGCAAGGGAUGGAUAAGAGAAUUUCCGUGCUCUUCACUAUGCUCAAAGCUGCGGAGGUAGAAAUCAAGAAAGAUAAUCAAGUGUUGAUGGUUAACAAGACCACUAGUUUCAAGAAAAAAAGGCAAGGGAAAGAAGGGGAACUUCAAGAAGAAUGGCAAGCAAGUUGUCACUCCCAGGAAGAAGCCCAAGUCUGGAACCAAGCCUGAAACUGAGUGCUUCUACUGCAAAGGGACUCGUCAUUGGAAGUAGAACUGCUCCAAGCAUUUGGCGGAUAAGAAGGAUGGCAAAGUGAACAAAGGUAUAUUUGAUAUACAUGUUAUUGAUGUGUACCUUACCAAUGCUCGUAGUGCCGCCUUGGUAUUUGAUACUGGUUCUGUUGCUCAUAUUUGCAACUCGAAACAGGGGCUACAGAUUAAACGAAGAUUGGCUAAGGACAAGGUGACGUGCGCGUCGGGAAUGGUUCCAAGGUCGAUGUGAUCGCCGUCGGCAUGCUACCUCUACAUCUACCUUUGGGAUUAGUUUUAGACCUGAAUAAUUGUUAUUUAGUGCCAGCGUUGAGCAUGAACAUUAUAUCUGGAUCUUGUUUGAUGUGAGAUGGUUAUUCAUUUAAAUCGGAGAAUAAUGGUUGUCCUAUUUAUAUGAGUAAUAUCUUUUAUGGUUAUGCACCCUUCAAGAGUGGUCUAUUUUUGUUGAAUCUCAAUUGUGGUGAUACACAUAUUCAUAAUAUUGAUGUUCAAAGAUGCAAAGUUGAUAAUGAUAGUGCAACAUAUUUGUGGCACUGCCGUUUAGGUCAUAUUGGUGUAAAGCGCAUGAAGGGACUCCAUGUGGAUGGACUUUUGGAAUAACUUCAUUAUGAAUCAUUUGAUGCUUGUGAACCAUGCCUCAUGGGCAACAUGACAAAAACUCCAUUCUCCGGAACAAUGGAGCGAGCCACUGACUUACUGGAAAUAAUACAUACCGAUGUAUGCGAUCCGAUGAGUGUUCAGGCUCGCAGCGGGUAUCGUUAUUUUUUGACCUUCACAGAUGAUUUGAGCAGAUAUGGGUAUAUCUACUUAAUGAAACACAAGUCUAAAAUAUUUGAAAAGUUCAAAGAAUUUCAGAGUGAAGUGGAGAAUCAUCGUAACAAGAAAAUAAAGUUUCUACGAUCUUAUCGUGGAGGCGAAUAUUUGAGUUACGAGUUUGGCCUUCAUUUAAAACAAUGUGGAAUAGUAUCACAACUCACACUACCUGGAACACCACAGCGUAAUGGUGUGUCCGAACGUCGUAACCGUACUUUAUUAGAUAUGGUGCAAUGUAUGAUGUCUCUUACCAAUUUACCACUAUCAUUUUAGGGUUAUGCAUUAGAGAUAGCUGCAUUCACUUUAAAUAGGUCCCAUCUAGAUCGGUUGAGACGACAACGUAUGAACUGUGGUUUGGCAAGAAACCUAAGCUCUCGUUUCUUAAAGUUUGGGGUUGCGAUACUUAUGUGAAAAAGCUUCAGCCUGAUAAGCUCAAACCCAAAUGGUAGAAGUGUGUCUUCAUCAGAUACCCAAAAGAAACUAUUGGGUACACCUUCUAUCACAGAUCUGAAGGCAAGAUUUUAAUUGCUAAGAAUGGAUCCUUUCUAGAGAAGGAGUUUCUCUCGAAAUAAGUGAGUGAGAGGAAAGUAGAACUUGAUGAGGUAAUUGUACCUUCUCUCGAAUUGGAAAGUAGCUCAUCACAGAAAUCAGUUUCGGUGAUGCCUACACCAACUAGAGAGGAAGCUAAUGAUAAUGAUCAUGAAACUUCAAGUUACUACCGAACCUCGUAGGUCAACCAGAGCAUGUUCCGCACCUGAGUGGUACGGUAAUCCUGUUCUGGAAGUCAUGCUAAUAGACCAUGAUGGACCUACAAACUACGAGGAAGCGAUGAUGAGCCCAGAUUCCGCAAAAUGGCUUGAGGCCAUGAAAUCUGAGAUAGGAUCCAUGUAUGAGAACAAAGUAUGGACUUUGGUUGACUUGCCCGAUGGUCAGCAAGCCAUAGAGAAUAAAUGGAUCUUCAAGAAGAAGACUGACGUUGAUGGUAAUGUCACUGUCUAUAAAGCUCGACUUGUUGCGAAAGGUUUUUCACAACUUCAAGGGGUUGACUACAAUGAGACUUUCACACCCGUACGAUCUUAAGUCUCUCCGAAUCAUGUUAGCAAUUGCCACAUUUUAUGAUUAUUAAAUCUGGCAAAUGGACGUCAAAACUGCAUUCCUUAAUGGAUUUCUCAAAGAAGAGUUGUAUAUGAUGCAACCAGAAGGUUUUGUCGAUCCAGAAGGUGUUAACAAAGUGUGCAAGCUCCAGCGAUCCAUUUAUGGACUGCUGCAAGCAUCUCGGAGUUGGAAUAUAUGCUUUGAUAGUGUGAUCAAAGCAUAUGGUUUUAUACAGACUUUCGUAGAAGACUGUAUUUACAAGAAAGUGAGUGGGAGCUCUGUAGCAUUUCUAAUAUUAUAUGUGGAUGACAUAUUGUUGAUUGGAAAUGAUAUAGAAUUUCUGGAUAGCAUUAAAGGAUACUUGAAUAAGAGUUUUUUAAUGAAAGACCUCGGUGAAUCUGCUUAUAUAUUAGGCAUCAAGAUCUAUAGAGAUAGAUCAAGACGCUUAAUUAGACUUUCACAAAGCACAUACCUUGAUAAAUUUUUGAAGAAGUUCAAAAUGGAUCAGUCAAAGAAAGGGUUCUUGCCUGUGUUACAAGGUGUGAAGUUGAUUCAGACUCAAUGCCCGACCACUUCAGAAGAUAGAGAGAAAAUGAAAGUCAUUCCCUAUGCCUCAGCCAUAGGAUCUAUCGUGUAUGCUAUGCUGUCUAUCAGACCUGAUGUGUGCCAUGCUAUAAGUCUAGCAGGGAGGUACCAAAGUAAUCCAAGAGUGGAUCACUGGACAGCGGUCAAGAACAUACUGAAGUAGCUGAAAAGGACUAAGGAUAUGUUUCUCGUUUUUGGAGGUGACAAAGAGCUCGUCGUAAAUGGUUACGUCGAUGCUAGCUUUGACACUGAUCCAGAUGACUCUAUGUCACAAACCAGAUACAUAUUUAUAUUGAAUGGUGGAGCUGUCAGUUGGUGCAGUACCAAGCAAAGCGUCGUGGCGGGAUCUACGUGUGAAGCGGAGUACAUAGCUGCUUCGGAAGCAGUGAAUGAAGGAGUCUGGAUGAAGGAGUUCAUGUCCGAUCUAGGUGUAAUACCUAGUGCAUCGGGUCCAAUUAAAAUCUUUUGUGACAAUACUGGAGCAAUUGCCUUGGCGAAGGAAUCCAGAUUUCACAAAAGAACCAAACACAUCAAGAGAUGCUUCAACUCCAUCUGUGAUCAAGUCAAGGAGGGAGACAUAGAGGUUUGGAAAAUACAUACGGAUCUGAAUGUGACAGACAUGUUGACUAAGCCUUUUCCACGAGCAAAACAUGAUCAGCACCAAGAAUCCAUGGGUGUUAGUAUCAUUACAAUGUAAUCUAGAUUAUUGACUCUAGUGCAAGUGGGAGACUGAAGGAAAUAUGCCCUAAAGGCAAUAAUAAAGUUGUUAUUUAUAUUUCCUUAUACCAUGAUAAAUGUUUAUUAUUCAUGCUAGAAUUGUAUUAACCGGAAACUUGAUACAUGUGUGGAUACAUAGACAAAACAAAGUGUCCCUAGUAAUCUUCUACUAGACUAGCUCGUUAAUCAAAGAUGGUUAAGUUUCCAAGUCAUAGACAUGUGUUGUCAUUUGAUGAACGGGAUCACACCACUAGGAGAAUGAUGUGAUGGAGAAGAUCCAUUCGUUAGCUUAGCAUAAUGAUCGUUAAGUUUUAUUGCUUUUGCUUUCUUCAUGUCAAAUACAUAUUCCUUCGACUAUGAGAUUAUGCAACUCCCGGAUACCGGACGAAUACCUUGUGUGCUAUCAAAAAAAACAUAACUGGGUGAUUAUAAAGAUGUUCUACAGGUAUCUCCGAAGGUGUUUGUUGGGUUGGCAUAGAUCAAGAUUAGGAUUUGUCACUCCGAGUAUCAAAGAGGUAUCUCUGGGCCCUCUCGGUAAUGCACAUCAUGAUAAGCCUUGCAAGCCAUGUGACUAAUGAGUUAGUUGCGGGAUGAUGCAUUACGGAACGAGUAAAGAGACUUGUCGGUAACGAGAUUGAACUAGGUAUGAAGAUACCGACGAUCGAAUCUCGGGCAAGUAACAUAUCGAUGACAAAGGGAAUAACGUAUGUUGUCAUUACGGUACGGCCGAUAAAGAUCUUUGUAGAAUAUGUGGGAACCAAUAUGAGCAUCCAGGAUCCACUAUUGGUUAUUGACCGGAGAGGUGUCUCGGUCAUGUCUACAUAGUUCUCGAACCCGUAGAGUCCGCACGCCUAACGUUCAAUGAUGAUUUUGUAUUAUAUGAGUUAUGUGAUUUCGUGACCGAAUGUUGUUUCGAGUGCCAGAUGAGAUCACGGACAUGAUGAGGAGUCUCGAAAUGGUCGAGAGGUAAAUAUUCAUAUAUAGGACGAUAAUAUUUGGACACCGGAAGUGUUCCGGGAGUACCGGGUACAUAUCGGGUCAACGGAAGAGGUUCCGGGCAACCCCCGGCAAGCUAUAUGGGCCUAAUGGGCCAAGAGAGGGACAUACGAGCCCUGAAAAGGGCUGGGGUGCCCCCCUAUAGGCCGAAUAGGAGGAGAAGGAAAGUGGAGGAUUCGUCCUCCCCUUUCGUUCCCCUCCCCCCUCUCUUUCCUUCCCCCUCCGAUGGAUAUGCAAGGGGGGAGGACGACUUGGAGACUCCUACUUGGGCGCCCCUUGCAGCCCCUCUCCCUCUCCCACCUAUACAUAUGUGGGGGGGGGGGGCACCGCUAGAACACACAACAUUAAUUCCUAGCCGUGUGCGGCGUCCCCCUCUACAGUUUACGCCUCCGGUCAUAUUGUCGUAGUGCUUAGGCGCAACCCUGCACGGAUCACUUCACCAUCACUGUCAGCACGCCGUCGUGCUGACGAAACUCCCCUCGACACUUUGUUGGAUCAAGAGUUCGAGGGACGUCAUCGAGUGAACGUGCGCAGAACUCGGAGGUGUUGUACGUUCGGUGUUUGAUCGGUCAGAACGAGAAAAAGUUCGACUACAUCAUUCGCGUUGUCAAACGCUUUCGCUUUCGGUCUACGAGAAUACGUGAACACAUUCUCACCCUUUUGUUGCUAUGCAUCUUCUAGAUAGAUCUUGCGUAAGCGUAGGAUUUUUUUUGAAAUUGCAUGCAACGUUUCCCAAUACCACGUGGGAUGGUCUUGCCGGACCCUCUUGUCGGCCUCUUCGCCCUUUGUUGAUGGUUUAGUCGCUACAGCUGAGACGUGCAGGGUGCUCGCAUGUUCCAGCUCGUGUGACGCCCAAGCCCUCCACGUCUGUCUAGGUGUCCUGACUCGAUGGUCCAUGAUGGGUGGACCACAGCCUCUGUCGGGGCCAUGAUGUGCGGUGGCAUGUGUCGCGCCCAAAAGCAAGAGGAUAACUGCAUGCACAUUUCGUCGUCUUCACCUCCACCGGGCUAGUUUGGUCGCUACAUUUGGGGCGUGCGAUGCGCUGUUUGCACCAGCUAAUGUGUUGCUUAUGCCUGCUGCUUGGACGGUUGGGUUGGACCAGCUUCAACGUAUCAAGAUUUUAUUAUUAUUUUGUGCUAUUAUAUUAUCAUAUAUAUAUAUAUAUAUAUAUAUAUAUAUAUAGAUAUAUAUAUUUUAUAGCAGUUUCUAUUAAUUUUAUGGACUAACCUAUUAGUUCCCGUUUUCUGCAUGUUUUAUCAAUAUCUUGGAAUCUCAAAAAACAGUGCCAAUUUAACAUGAUUUUUUUUGGGCAACAAAGGACCCAUCAAGCUUCGGGAAGGAAUGAGAGGAGCCACAGGGGGGCCACUAAAUCCUAUAAAUAUCAAAACAUCUUAUUUUUAGAAGAAUUUUUCCGCCUCCACAAGUUCCUUUUUAGCGAAGAUCUAAUCCAGAGGCCCGUUCGGGUGUUCUGCCAGAGGCUUCUUCCUCAACGUGGCUGCCUCCAUCAGUUUGUGUGAGUAGUUCCAUUAGGACCAUAGGGUCCAUGGUAGUUGCUGGAUGAUUCUCUCUCUUUUGGAUCUUCAAUACCAUGUGUCCCGUGAGCUACCUGACAUGAUCGGAUCAAUUCGAUAUAAUCGGUGGAGUGUUUGUUAUGAUAAAUUUCCACUUUAAACAUGGUCAUAAAACGGCUGCUACUCUACAAUGUUUCUCAUUGUUCUUGUUGAAUAAAAUUAGUAUCUUCAAGACCGUACAGUACUGUAGAUAUUACCUUAUAGGAGAUACUAUAAGUUUUUUCAAUCAUUUUCAUAUUUCUGGUGAUGUUAAGAGUAACCGAUGUACCAGAAUUCAAGGAUGCGACCACCCCGAGAAAUAUGUAUAUAGAUCAACUUCCAUACCGCCUUACAAACUGAAACUAGUGAAGCCAUCGUUGAUUGCUAGUUAGUGGUCAUUUUAGUUCACAUCUAAAGGUUGAACCUUGUUCAUGUAUACUAAAAGAACCUAUCUGUAAGUAUGAGAGCAUGGAUUUUGAUGAUUUUGAGGUGCUUGAUCCUUGGCUCUAAGUCAAUUAUAGUGGUGAAUGCUCCUAACAGAUUAAAAAGCUAUAACUACUAGGAAAGGCUUUAGGUGGGGUCACGUUAUUGGCGGGCACCAAUAGGUACAUGCCACCGCUAUUUCGGCCAGCCAACAUUGGUGGGUACAAAAGAGGGCUGACAACAGGUAUUGGAUCUGCAAUGGCGGGCGAAAAAUGCCAUCCUUCACUAGUAAAUUCUUACCGUGUUAGUCAUGGGCUAAAUGUUUCGGUGGCAAACAUAUACUUCCUCCGUCUCAAAAUAAGUGUCUCAACUUUGUACUAUCUCUAGUAUAAAUUUGUACUAAGCUCAAGACACUUAUUUUGAGACGGAGGGAGUACUUGUCAACCACCACUGCUAGCUCAUUUUGUAGUAGUGUAUACUAUUAUCGAGUUGGUGGAUCAAUUAUGCUAAAGUUGUGUACAAUGCAACUUCCUGCUUAGUGGUGUAGGACAAAAUUAAGAGACAUUUACUUAGUUGUUGUUUUUACAAAAAAUAAUACUAAUAAUACGCAGCAGAGUCCUGCUGUUUCCCCCAAAAAACAUUUACUUAGUUGCUUGCGAGUCUGCGCAAUAUGGUAGAUAAGUUAGGACUUUUUUGUCUUUCCUGAAAUUUAAUUUGCAAUAUUUCAUCCGUCUUCGUUUACGUUACAAAUUGUAACACCUCAGUAUUUGAGUAAUUUGAUUUCUCCAUGCAAUAAAUACUUAAGUUAUUAAUACGUUAUCCAGCUAAAUUUGAAGAACCAAAAUAGAGUAGACUAUGCUUCAGUAUGAGCAUUUGAUGGCAAUAGUAUAAUACAAUGUAUUUAACCAUCAAAAUAUAAAUCCGCAGACGCGCGCGCAUGUGUGUGUGUGUGUGUGUGUGUGUGUGUGUGUGUGUGUGUGUGUGUGAAUAAAAACAGAACCAUUCAAAAAAUUACACGUGUCAUAAAUUAGUUAGAUGCAAGGCUGGUACUGAUAUAAAGAACAAGCGACAAACCAGAUGUGGAUAGAAUGCUCACCAAUGCACACGUUUUUAAUGUCUGCUAAGCUUUUCACAUAACAAUGAGUUUUCAGUUCUAGGGUUUCUAUCUAAACGAUAUGCACACGUGUGAAGCUUUCUGCAAUUGACUUUUAGGGUUCUACGCAAUUGGUUUGGGUGGCAACAACCAAAUCUAUUCCCAAAAGAGGCCAAAAGUGGCAUAUGUGAUUUAUGACAAAGAAAGCAUGAGAUACAAGAAAGAUGCAAUUUUAUUAUUGAGUGUAAAGUUAGCAAAGCUUUUUUUGGGGGAAGGUUAGCAACGAUUUUGACCUAGUAGCUAUGUUAUCUGGUAACCUGGUGCGAAAUUCAAUCAUCUUGUUGCUUUUUUUUUUGAGAGAAACAUAAGGACUCUGCUGCGUAUUUUUAUUGAUUUUCAAAAAAAAUAUACAGAAGUGGAUUGAACCAGAGGUUCAACUGGAAAAAAGAACUAUACAGAAUAAGAGAAAAAUCAUCUUAUUGAUUCUCCAUAGCUAGUGGGCCUGAACCUUUCAAGAACAUCAUCGGUUGUCCUCUAAACUUAUCUUAGACUAACCUUACACAAGGCAAGUGUAAUACAUCUAGAUAUGGGUCGUACUAGAUCAACUACGUUUGCAAUCCUAAUCCCAGGAAUAACCCAAUCAGAAAAUACCUAAAAUCACUAGUAAUUUCAUGAUGCAACAAGAUCAUGUACAUGGAAGAAAAUAAGGAUAUGCUAUACUGCAAAUCCAAGAGAUAAGUACUACAACAGAAUGCCACAAAUAUUAUUAUAAAAAUAUCUCAUGUAAGACAACUAAUAACUUUGUACUUCAAAUAUGGUCGUACAAUGAUUGCUACUGCACAUUUUUAAAGAUUAUUCUUAUUGAAUAAAAUUAAUAUACUGAAGACCUUCCACUACUUUAGAUAUCACCACACAUGAGUUGUUGUAGUUUUCUAGACAUUUGGAUACAUCUAAUACUGUUAAGACUGGUCGAUGUACCGAAAUGAGGGCCAUGAUCCCCCAAGAAAUCUGGAUAAAGAUUAAUGUUCAUGCCGCCUUCGUGACAUCAACAAGUGAAGCCGUCGGGGAUUUGAAUAUUAGUGGCCAUUUAUAGUUUAGUUAUAAAGGUUACAACAAACUUUGUUCAUGAUAUACUACAACAACCUCGCCCUUGUAUGACAUGAGAGUAUGGACUUUUAUGAUUUUCACGGUCGUUCGAUCCUUGAGUACGGUUUCCUGAAUUUGGAAUUUGGAAUUUGCAUAUUUCAUACGUCUUCGCUUUGCAUUAAAAAUUGUAACAACAUCGGUGUUUGAGAAAUAUUUUCUCUCUUCACCUCAAAUCAAUUAUCUCAAACACCACACCAAAGACCAAACAACAUAUUGAUUAACUAAUGGAGUAAAUUGAUUAUAUGAUUUGUAUUCAAAAUACAUUAUGGUAACAUAAGACAAGAGUGCACCCACACCAAAACAAAACACAAGACAAGAGUAAACAGAUUACAUGAUUGGUAAAAGGAAACAACAUGAUGAUAAACAACACCACAGUAAACCCAUUACAUGGCAGCGACACAUGAGAACAACAAUGAAAAUAGAUAUGUAACUUAUAUGAUAGAUAGAUUCAGAUUGCCUCUGGAUUAUGAUGGCAUACGACUAUGGGAUCUCGGUGCAUAUUGCGCACGGCCGAGGCUAAACAGGAGGAGAAUCAGAGAAGUACCACGGUUUGGUGAAAUUGUCAUCAGUCCCUUCUGUUGGAGCACUAGGAGUGACGGGAACGACGAAGAACUUGGGUUUUUUGAACACCAGGUGGCGAGACGGAGCCCUUAGGGGUUCCCUUGAGGAGCUUAAGCAGCUUUCCGCCUGCGCCACGAUCUGCAUCCGUCGGAUCGGCUGCUGUGGCUGUGGAGCAGGUACGUCCGCCAGCUGCAGGCCGAGACGUGCUCGUGCCGGAAGCGGCAUGUGCAGGAACGAGUAUGCAGGCACCGGUGGGGUGUAGCCGGCGGGCGCUUCAAAGGGGAAGGGGAAGUAAACUACCAGCUUGGGCGGCGGUGGAGGCGGUGUUGUGGGAUCCGGUGGCAACGUAACGACCUCAAAGAGCGGUGUAUCGUGACCAUGGCUGCGGUGCCUCGGUGCAGCGAUCACCUCCUUAACCAGUCUGGCCGGCGGAGGGUAGGGGAAGUUGAGCUUUGCCUUUGUGCGCUUUAGCUCCCUAGCCGCGAGGUCGUAGGCGCACGCGGCGACCUCGGGGGAGGAGUACGUCCCCAGCCACAACAACGUCUUCGUCACGGGGUGCUUGAUCGUUGCGGCGAACUUCCCUCCCCCUUCUUUCUCACUCCAGUUAACUUGAUGUUCUCACCCGCCGCUGCGGCUGCCAUGGCCUCUACCACAGUCGAACGGAGGUGGAUGCCCUUUGAGGUGGAUGCCGGAUGUGUGCAAGACGAUGGGGUUUAAUAGCGGGUCUUGCGCAGCUCACCCUGCCGGCAUCAUGCCGUGCGUUGCGUACGUACGUUUCAGCUUCACUGGAACCAC
RNAcentral lists this long non-coding RNA (49847 nucleotides) under Triticum aestivum (bread wheat). RNAcentral's name for it is "long non-coding RNA (TAES_LNC015360)". The record is from RNAcentral. Lineage: Eukaryota; Viridiplantae; Streptophyta; Magnoliopsida; Poales; Poaceae.